RNAcentral lists this long non-coding RNA (72258 nucleotides) under Populus trichocarpa (black cottonwood). Its description in RNAcentral is "long non-coding RNA (PTRI_LNC000494)". The stretch from base 34830 to 34985 matches the Rfam family "MIR2912 microRNA precursor family". Lineage: Eukaryota; Viridiplantae; Streptophyta; Magnoliopsida; Malpighiales; Salicaceae. The record is from RNAcentral.
UUCGUAGAUGGAUUCCUUCUCAUUUACACCCAUGUUCAAAUUUUGAGGUAAUAAGUGCAUGCUUAUGGAGAUGCUAUGCCAUGGCAUCUCAAGCUAACCCUAAUGAGGAGAUGCGCAUGCAAAUGCUUGUUAACGCACGUUCCAAAUUUAACCCUCCAUUACCGAAAGGAUAUUAUGGUAACGUGCUAGCUUUGCCAGCAGCUGUAACAAAUGCUAGGAAGCUUUGCUUAAACUCUUUAGGGUAUGCUGUGGAAAUGAUAAGAAAUGCCAAGAAUAGAAUAACUGAGGAGUACAUGAGAUCAUUGGCUGAUCUAAUGGAGAUAACCAAAGGGCAGCCUAUAGGGUUACAAUCAUAUGUCGUGUCAGACUUAACAAGUAUUGGGUUCGAUCAGGUGGACUAUGGAUGGGGCAACACAAUUUACACUGGGCCACCCAAGGCCAUGCCUGAUGAAAUUUCUAUUGCAGGAACCUAUUUCCUGCCGUAUCGAUUCAAGAACGGAGAGCGUGGGGUUAUGCUUUUGGUUUCCUUACGUGCACCAGUUAUGGAGAGAUUUGCAAUACUAUUAGAGGAAUUGGCAAGGCAUGACCCAGAAAGAAGCCAAGAACAACAAGAAAUGAUACCAAGCUCCCUAUAAGACAGGAGAGGCUAUGAUAUUAUUCUGUUCUUGGCCGGAUAAGCCUUUGGUACCAAAAAAAAUAUUUUAAAGCAGAUGGUGGCGAAGUUCCGAUAAGCCUUUAAAUUUAUUUAUUACCAGCAAGCCCGUACUCUUUGACCUUGUUGUGAUUGUAUACUUAGACAUAUGAGUUGGAGUUUUCAUGAAAAAUUGGUGAUUUGUGUGUUUUCAAAUUGUUUACAGUUGUAAAAUUUAGGUCUCAUGACUAUUAUUUUGUUUAGUGUGCUAUCACUUUUAUAUUCAAUAAUAAGAUCAAUAUUUUGUUUCCAAUAUAUAGUUUCGUGAGUUAAUUAGGGUUUUGAGCUUUUGUAUAAAAACAAAUUAGGGUUUUGAUCAACAUAUAUAUGCCAUUUUGUUGAACAAAAAUUCUUGGAAAUCCAUUGGACAACAACCAUUUAUUUUUUCUAUUUUUUUGCCCGAGUUAAAGCAACACCAUAAUAACUUAGGAAAGCUCCAUAUAAAAAAAGAGAGAAAAAGUCAAUGCUAGUGAGGUUGACGUAUAAGAGUUUGCAAAACAGAAAGUACUUCAAAAGCAAAAUAUUCCAUAGAGUAGAUCUAAACAAAACUGAAAAAAACGAAAAAAAAUUCAAUUACAUUGAGCUUUGUUAAAAAAAAACUCUAUAGUGUAAUUUUUUUUCUUUUUUCACAUAUCUUUAUGAGUCAUUUAUAAUUUCAAGUUUAUUUAAUGUAAAAAUCUCAAUAAAUUAUCGAGCUUUAUUACAGCACUAGUGUUACCUAUAAAAUAAAUUGUAUUUAUGAUUUUGUAUGUGUUAUGGUUUGUUUUAUAUUUUGUAAAAUUGUAUUUAUUUGUAAAUUGUUGAAACUUAUAUCAAAUUACCAACAUAGGUGUGUUGUGAUGAAAUAAAUAAUGACUUAUUUAAGGGUCCGUUUUAUAUUUUAUCAAUUUUAUUUCCGAGUUGUAAUUUCUGUAAAUAUAUACAAAUUUAUAUGUACUUAGAUAAUUGGUAAUUAAUUAAGAGAAGUAUUAAAGUAAGUUAAAUAAUCUUAAACCAAUAUUUUUAUAAAUUUAUUUAGUUAACGAAGUUAAUUAAUACAUGUUGUCAUCAUUAUUUAAUAUAGGUUCGAUAGAAGUCAUGAAUGAUCGUUCAUGGAUAUAUCGAGAUUCACCCUAAGGAUUGCAGAGGAGGGAUUAUUGUAAUGAGGUUUAGAGUUUUAUUAAUUACGUAAUACCUAAUCCAAGAAAUAUUAGUGGAGGUAGUAUUAGGUGUCUGACACGAUCAAAUAGUUGAUGUCUUAUCCCAAGUGCAGGAGUGUCAAAGUAAUAAAUAACCCAGCAAGACCGGGGUCGAACCACAGGGAGGUGAACUAUAUAAAUUAUAAAUAAUAAUAAUAAUAACAACAACAACAACAACAACAACAAUGAUGAUGAUGAUGGUGAUGAUGAGUUAAAGAUGACUUUGAGAUGUAAGAUAAAUGUGAAGAUUAAACAAUGAUAAAAACAAAUGUCAAGGUUAGAGGAUCCACUAAUAGUAUUAGAGAUAAGUAAAGUAUAAACUCUUUAUAAAUUAUCAAUAUAAUCAUAUUAAUCAUCUUAUUUACGUAACACCAUACUUAUAAAUUUUAUCAGGUAUUCAUGAUGCUAACUUAUGUUGACAACAAAUCAAGUUCCUCUCAUAAUAAUGAUGUCGGCCGAAGACUAUGAAGGAUCAAGUAUUUGAUGUACCAAGUGUUAUACAACACAAAUCUAGAUUAACCAUUUAACAAGUAAGGUAUUAAGAAUUAAUAAGUUAAAAAUGAUAAGACAUGUUAAUAGCAAACUUUCUUGGAUAUAAACAUUAAAGUUCAUGUUAAGUUUAUAUUAUACUUAUCCUAACACCAUUAGUGAAACCUUUUCACCUUGACAUAAUUAACUUAGCUAGACAUUAUGAAGAAGAAAAACAUAAAUAAACAAUACAAGAACAUAAACAUGAUAUAAGUUAACUAACUAUAGUAAAGGAAAUGAAAGGCAUGAACAAGAGAUUAAUGAAAGCAAAACUUAAGUAUUACAAAAAUAUAAAGAGAGAGCAAGAACAUGAUCUUGAUAUGAAGAACCAAGAUUCCUAAAUGAAUGGCAAAUGCCUCCUUUUAUAGGCUAAAGUUCAGAACUAUUCAUUUGGUAAUUGAUUAUUGAUGUAGUGGCCAACUAUUGAUUUAGUGGACUUGGUGGACAGCAACACUCAAGCAUUUUGGCUGGAUAAAUUGACAUUGAUGCAAUCCGAAUUUGGCAAAGUGUUCCUCAUGCAAGUUGUUGGAAAUCAUCUUAUCUUUCCACCCAUAUAAUUUCAGAGCAUUUGGAUGACUAAAGCUCGAGAUAUGGCUAAACUACUGAGUAGUGCUGCUGGUGGACGUGGUGGAUAGCCCUCAAGCUCUUGUCUGGAUGAAAGGUCAUUGUUACCAUCAGAAUUUGAGCAGGUCUUCUUCAUAAAAGUUGUUGGAAAUUGUCUUUUCCUUCCACCUACCAAAGGUCACGUCAUUUAGCCUUCUAGAACUCCAGAUAUGGGUAAACGUCUGAGCAGUGUUUGGGCUGGAUUGCAGGACAGAUUCUGGCUUCUCUUUUGUGGCCAAACUUUGGAUUUGAAAACGGCAGAUUUGGGUCUUCCACUAUUCAUGAACAUUGUAGGCCUAUUUCUUAUCUUUCUAUCCAUAUAAAUUAAACUGAAAUCCAAGAUCUACAGCUCCAGAUAUGACCCAAUAACUGAACAGUGUGUCAAUUUGAAUUGAAUCGGUAUCUCCUUUCUAAGCUUCGCCUUUUCUUUGUCCUUUCACUUUCAAUAGUUAAUCACAUCAAUCAAUCAUUUGAAUUGUGAGAUAUGCCUGCAUUUAAAAUAAGCAUUUACCAUAAAUUAAAGCUAUCUUAUAUUAUCAGACUUGUUAUUAUAAAACAUGCUCUAGAUAAAGAGUUAUUGAUACUUCAAGUGCAAAAUAAUGAUAUAAAACCUUGAUAAAAAUGCACUUUUAAGUACUAAUCACACACCCCAACCAGUUUAUUACUAGUCCCUAGUAAUCAAAGCAUUAAAAUAGAAAAAAAAACAAUUUGCAAGUUCCACAAAGCAAGGCAUUCAUCAUUUAACUUCCAUUAAUCUUGUUGCUACCCAAUUUUUGACCCACCUUUUUGAUAAAAUUUUCGGAAAAUCCAAAGAUAGCGAAAAACAACGAAAAUCCAAAAAAAUACAGCUAUUGACACACCUCCCAUUAACCCAAGGCUGCCUCCGCCAUACACUAAAUGAAUCUUUCUCUCAGCUAAUACCUGACCAAGAUGAUUUGCUGAUUCUAAAAACUCUUUUUCUUUCCCAGGACUGGAUCCACCGAAAACACAAAUAUUUCUUAUUUGAGGACUUGAGGAACCUGCCAUUUCUACACACUUCGAUAUCUGUUAAAUGUGUGGGUUGAGUAAAAAUGAAGGGAAGGAAGAGAAGAUUUUAUAGAUGAGAAAUUGAAAAAGCAAUCAUACCACCUAUAUAUAGGCCAGCUGAAGUCUCUCUCUCUCUCUCUCUCUCUUUUUAUUUUAAAAAAAACAUGUGUAUGUACAAGCAGUUGUGAUUGUGGCUCACAUCUUCCCUUGGUUUUACGUCCAAGAACGGCUUAAACACCCUCUAUGGGUCGGGGAUAUGCUUCCCAUCCAAUUUUCUUAAAAACUAGCAAACAGGGUCUUUUUUAGUCAGAUUCCCAAGACUAUGUUGAGCAUGUUCCUUAUGAAAUUGUGGCCAUAAAUCAUGAAUUGCACGAUGCACAUCUCCACUAGGGUGCGUCUCAAGAGUCAACAGAAGAUUAUCUAAAGACUCCUUACUCAGGUCAUCCUUAAUGAACUGUAUUUUAUCUUCAUGAUUUACAGAUACCAUUCCUAAAGAACGACAUUUUGCAUCACAAGUCCAUCUGACACAUCUGUGACAGACUUGUAGUCGUUUUGCACGACGUUUCUUUGCAAAAGUGCUUUUACCUGUUCCAGGCAUGUAUGAAAUGAAAGAAUUGGAGGACUCACCUGAUAAUCGGACCUUUGCUUCAAUUAGCCAGCGAAUAUCUUUAGGAAUUCCAUGGUUCAUUAACAAUCGCAAUCUUGCACAUCUAGCACGAUAAAUUUUUGUAAUCGCAUUCUGAGGCAGAGCAGGAAAAUACUUUUUCAAUUUUUCAAGAGUGGUGUCCAUUUUUUUUUUAGAUGAGAAGUGGAAAAGAGAUGCAAAGAAGGGAGAAAGAGCAAAGAAUUGCACAAACAUAUACACAUAUAUCAGUUAUCAUGGGAAACUGAAAGAACCGACUUUAAGAGUCACGGAGUACCGUUAUCCGCCAUUUGACCGGGGUGAGAGAAACUAGCAAAACAAAGGUCACACAAAAAAGAAACACAAAAACAAUGUGAGAAAAAGAAUCAAUCUUUAUAUACAGGAUCACCCAAUUCAAUAGAGUCAUUUUCAACUGAAAAAUUGUCAAAGUAAACUUUCAAACGAUGUCCAUUUACCUUGAAAACAUUACCAUUCUUUGGAUUCUCAAUAUCACAGGCCCCAUAUGGAUACACAUGUUUCACAAUAAAAGGACCGCUCCAUCUUGAUCUUAGUUUUCCAGGAAACAAAUGGAGUCGAGAAUUAUAAAGCAAGACUUUUUGACCAACAUUGAAUGUUUUUCUCAAUAUUUUCUUGUCAUGAAACUCUUUGAUUCUUGCUUUAUGAAUUCUUGAAUUUUCAUAUGCAUCAUUUCUUAUUUCCUCAAGCUUAUUUAUUUGUAAUUUUCGCAGCUGACUAGCAUCAUCAAGAUUUGAAUUGAAAGCUUUAAUAGCCCAAUAAACUUUAUGUUCAAGUUCCACAGGUAAGUGACAAGGUUUCCCAUAGACUAGUCUAUAAGGUGACAUACCUAAUGAUGUUUUAUAAGCAGUUCGAUAAGCCCAAAGUGCAUCAUUAAGUCUUAAAGACCAGUCUUUCCUAUUAGGGUUCACUGUUUUCUCCAAGAUCUGUUUGAUCUCCCUAUUAGCACGUUCUACUUGUCGACUUGUUUGAGGGUGAUAAGGGGUGGCAACUUUAUGUGUGAUUCCAUAUUUCUUCAUUAAAGACUCAAAUGACUUGUUGCAGAAAUGUGUUCCACCAUCACUUAUCAUGGCUCGAGGGAUUUCAAAUCGACUUAAAAUAUUUUCUUUCAAAAACUUUAUCACUAUUUUGUGAUCAUUGUUUCGACUUGGAAUUGCCUCUAUCCAUUUUGAAACAUAAUCUACUGCGACUAAUAUGUACAAGAAACCAAAUGAUGGAGGAAAUGGACCCAUAAAAUCUAUACCCCAACAGUCAAAGAUCUCAAUGACAAGAAUAGGAUUUAAAGGCAUCAUGUGAUGUUUUGAAAUAGAUCCCAACUUUUGACAAUUUUCACAAAUCUUGCAGAAUGCAUGUGUGUCCUUGAACAUGGUGGGCCAAUAAAAUCCACUUUGUAAGAUUUUUGCAGUUGUCUUUCUUGAUGAGAAAUGACCCCCACAUGCCUCAGAAUGACAAAAUUUAAUGACACUACUUACCUCAUUGUCAGGAAUGUAUCUUCGAAAUAUUUGAUCAGGACAAUAUUUGAAUAAAUAAGGGUCAUCCCAAUAAAAGUUCUUCACUUCGGUCAAGAACUUUCUUUUGUCUUGGGUGUUCCAAUGAGCUGGCAAAUGUCCUGAAACAAGAAAAUUAACAAUAUUAGCAAACCAAGGCAUUGUAGCAACAGAAAGUAAAUAUUCAUCAAGAAAGUAAUCAUUGAUUUGUGUGAUGUCAGAUGUGGAAUCUAUUGUCAAUCUUGACAAAUGAUCCGCGACAACAUUUUCGGUGCCUUUCUUGUCUUUGAUUGUGAUAUCAAAUUCUUGAAGUAACAAAAUCCAUCGUACCAAUCUAGCCUUAGAAUCCUUUUUUGAAAGAAGAUAUUUCAAAGCUGCAUGAUCACUAAAAAUAACAACAGGUGAGCCAACAAGAUAAGAUCUGAACUUGUCACAUGCAAAUACUACUGCAAGUAAUUCCUUUUCAGUGGUAGUAUAAUUCAUUUGAGCACUAUUUAAAGUUUUACUUGCAUAGUAAAUCACAUAGGGUUUCUUAUCUUUUCUUUGUCCUAAGACAGCACCUACGGCAUAAUCACUAGCAUCACACAUUAUUUCAAAAGGUAAUGACCAAUCAGGAGGUUGAAUGACAGGAGCAGAAGUAAGCAAGCUUUUAAGUUUAACAAAGGCUUUUUCACAUUGUUCAGUCCAUUCAAAAACAUUUUCCUUUGUUAGAAGGUUACACAAUGGCUUAGAUAUGACACUAAAAUCUUUGAUAAACCUUCUGUAAAAACCAGCAUGUCCUAAGAAUGAUCUAACAUCUUUAACAGAUUUUGGUGUUGGCAAGUUGGCAAUUAACUCGAUUUUAGAUUUGUCAACCUCAAUUCCUUUCGAUGAAACAAUAUGACCCAGUACAAUGCCGUUUGUUACCAUAAAAUGAUAUUUUUCCCAAUUCAACACAAGAUUCUUCUCUUCACACCUGCUCAAAACCUUUUCUAAGUUAGUCAAACAAUCAUCAAAUGAAUCGCCAAAAACAGAAAAAUCAUCCAUAAAAAUUUCAAGAAAACAUUCAACCAUAUCACUGAAUAUGCUAAGCAUGCAUCUUUGAAACGUGGCUGGUGCAUUACAUAAUCCAAAAGGCAUCCUUCUAUAUGCAAAAGUUCCAAAUGGACAUGUGAAAGUAGUCUUCUCUUGAUCUUCCAAUGCAAUUUCAAUUUGGUUGUAACUUGAAUAGCCAUAUAGGAAACAAUAAAAUUCAUGACCUGCAACUCUUUCUAGGAUUUGAUCCAUGAAAGGUAAAGGGAAAUGAUCUUUUCUAGUCAUUGAAUUAAGUUUCCUAUAGUCAAUGCACAUGCGCCAACCAGUAAUAGUCCUAGUUGGAAUUAACUCAUUUUUCUCAUUUGUUAUCACAGUAACUCCAGACUUCUUGGGUACAACUUGGGUAGGACUUACCCAUUUGCUGUCAGAAAUAGGAUAAAUAAUUCCAUUAUCUAGAAGCUUAAUGACUUCAUUCCUCACUACUUCUUUCAUAUUAGGAUUAAGCCUUCGUUGCAUUUCUCUAGAGGGUUUAACAUUUUCCUCCAAAUAAAUCUUGUUUGUGCAAAUCAAAGGACUAAUUCCUUUUAUGUCAGCUAUGGUCCAUCCUAAUGCAUUUUUGUGCAUUUUCAGAGUUUGUAACAACUUACCUUCUUGAUGUGCAUUAAGUUUGGAAGAGAUUAUUACCAGAAAAGUUUCAUUUUCUCCCAAAAAUGAGUAUUUAAGAUUGAAUGGUAAUGGCUUCAAAUCAGGUUUUGGUGGUUGAACACUUGAAGGUAUAGACUCAAUUGAUCGUGGUGGCAAUUCUUCAAUUUGUGGUCUCCAAUUACUUGCCCUUGAUUCUUCCUGAAAAUAAACCAUUUACAAAUCUUCAGAUUCAUUAAACUCAAUUUCAUUGGAAGUAGUUUGAAAUUGAUCAUAAACUAAUUUUUCAAUAAAGUCUACUUCCUGUAAAUCAUUAUCAUCUCCAGGUUGCUUGCAAAUGUUAAAAACAUUCAUCUCUAAUGUCAUGUUUCCAAAUGAUAACUUCAUCAGUCCAUUCCUACAAUUAAUCAAUGCAUUAGAAGUUGCAAGAAACGGACGUCCUAAAAUAACAGGAAUUGAAUUACAUGUUUCAACAGGUUGUGUAUCCAAGACAACAAAAUCCACAGGAUAAAUGAAUUUAUCAACUUGUACUAACACAUCUUCAACUAUUCCUCUAGGCACUUUUACAGAUCUAUCGGCAAGUAAAAGAGUUACAGAAGUUGGUUUUAACUCACCUAGAUUGAGACUCUGAAAGACUGAAUAUGGAAGUAAAUUCAUACUAGCUCCAAGAUCAAGUAAAGCUCUUUUAAUUUUAUGUUCUCCAAUAAAGCAAGAAAUUGUAGGACAACCAGGGUCUUUAUAUUUCAAAGCAUUAUUGUUCUGAAGAAUGACACUUGUUCGGCUAAAAAGGCUUUCUUUUUCACAUUUAGUUUUCUCUUCACAGUGCACAGAUCUUUUAAAAAUUUAGCAUAAGAAGGUACCUGUUUAAUAGCAUCUAACAAAGGUAUAUUGAUCCUUACCUGUUUGAAAGUUUCAAAGAUUUCAAAGUUGUGAUUGACUUUCCUUUGUUUGGUAAUGGUAUGAGGAAAUGGAAGUGCUGGCAGGGAAUCCGUCUUUUCUUUACAAUGUUCAGAUUCAACCCCUUCCUUACCCUCGAAGAUUAACUCAUCAUCUUUCUCACAAGGUUCAAGAGUGGGUUUUUCAAUAACCUUACCACUGCGAAGAGUGAUGACUGAUUUGACUUGAUCCAUGUGUUGGCUUCCGGAACUACUUGCAUUUGCAUUGGAUUGCCCCUUGGGAUUUUGCUGUGGUAGAGAUGGAAACUUACCUUUCUCUUGAAAACUGAGAGAAGAUGUGAAUUUUGCAAGAGCAUCUUUUAGAUCUGCCAUGGUUUGAGCAUUUUGAGUAUUGAUUGUCUCCUGCUUUUCAAUGAAUGCAUGCAAUGUUUUCUCAAGAUUUCUUCUAGGAGGUGGAGCAUAAGGAGGUGCAUAUCCAUGAGAAUUUUGGAAAUUAUGGUGUGCUUGAAAUGGUGGCUGUAAAGUUUGUGCAUUAUUGUUACUACUCUUCCAACUGAAAUUUGGGUGAUUUCUCCAACCAGGGUUAUAUGUUUACGAGUAUGGGUUAUGAUUUGGCCUUUGGAAACUAUUUAAAGCAUGGGCUUGUUCAUGGAGGCAUUCUUUGAAAGAAGACAAAGUUGGACAGUCAUUGGUUGCAUGUUCAUUCGUUUCACAGAUUUAACACACAAUGUCUUGAACAGAUUUUAAUUGACCACUCUUUUUUAAUUCUAGUGCCUCAACUUUUCUAGCUAAUGAUGCAAAUUUGGCUUGGAGGUCAUGAUCUUCCCUAAGGUUGUACAUACCUCCACUAGAUGUAUGAGGUUGAGUUUUACCUGGUGCCUCAUAACUGCCUGUAGUGUCCUAAUUUUGAGCAUUUUCAGCUAGCAAGUCUAGGUACUCCAUUGCUUCAUCAGGGUCUUUAUUUUCAAAAGUUCCAUUGCACAUCAAAUCCACCAUUUGUCUAUCUUUAGGUGUUAACCCUUCAUAAAAAUGUGAAACCAAUCUCCAUAUUUCAAAACCAUGAUGAGGGCAAGUAUUAAGCAAAUCUCGAUACUUAUCCCAACAUUGGUAAAAUGUUUUUCCUGGAUUUUGAGUGAAAGUGGUGAUUUGUCUUUUGAAAGAGUUUGUUCUGUGAGAUGGAAAAAUCUUCGUUAAAAAUUGUUGUUGCAUUUCAUCCCAAGCACGAAUGGAUCCUGACCUAAGAUUUUGUAGCCAUGUUUUAGCUUUAUCUUUUAACGAAAAAGGAAAGAGCUUUAAUCUGAUGGUGUUCAUGCUACAAUUUAAGUUAUUAUAGGUGUUACAGACUUCUUCAAAUUCUCUCAAAUGCAAGUAUGGAUUUUCUAGAUUUAAGCCAUGAAAAGAAGGUAAAAGUUGAAUAAUGCCUGGCUUAAAAUUAAAGUGAGAUGCAUCAGGAGGGAAAACUAUACAUGAGGGUGCACUUGUUCUUGUUGGAUUCAUGUGGUCUCUUAAUGUUCUAACUCGAUUAUUCUCAUUAUUCUCAUUAUGAAGUGAUUGAUUAUCUUCUUCGGCCAUAUUUUCUGAAAAUGAUGAGGAUACCCUACAAAGUCUACCACUUAAUGUACGUGACCAAACUCUCAUGCACGUGUAGAAAGAGAAUAAAAGGAAGAAGAAAACAAAAGAAAAAGAAACAAAACAAAAGAAACAAAAGUUAGAUACAAGAAAAGUGGAAAGUGAAAAUAAAAUAAAUAUUAUAAUUUAUACAAGAAUUUACCUCCCCGGCAACGGCGCCAAAAACUUGACACGAUCAAAGAGUUGAUGUCUUAUCCCAAGUGCAGGAGUGUCAAAGUAAUAAAUAACCCAGCAAGACCGGGGUCGAACCACAGGGAGGUGAACUAUAUAAAUUAUAAAUAAUAAUAAUAAUAAUAAUAAGAACAACAACAACAACAAUGAUGAUGAUGAUGGUGAUGAUGAGUUAAAGAGGACUUUGAGAUGAAAUAGGACUUUGAGAUGUAAGAUAAAUGUGAAGAUUAAACAAUGAUAAAAACAAAUGUCAAGGUUAGAGGAUCUACUAAUAGUAUUAGAGAUAAGUAAAGUAUAAACUCUUUAUAAAUUAUCAACAUAAUCAUAUUAAUCAUCUUAUUUUAUCAGGUAUUCAUGAUGCUAACUUAUGUUGACAACAAAUCAAGUUCCUCUCAUAAUAACGAUGUCGGCCGAAGACUAUGAAGGAUCAAGUAUUUGAUGUACCAAGUGUUAUACAACACAAAUCUAGAUUAACCAUUUAACAAGCAAAGUAUUAAGAAUUAAUAAGAUAAAAAUGAUAAGACAUGUUAAUAGCAAACUUUCUUGGAUAUAAACAUUAAAGUCCAUGUUGAGUUUAUAUUAUACUUAUCCUAACACCAUUAGUGAAACCUUUUCACCUUGACAUAAUUAACUUAGCUAGACAUUAUGAAGAAGAAAAACAUAAAUAAACAAUAUAAGAACAUAAACAUGAUAUAAGUUAACUAACUAUAGUAAAGGAAAUGAAAAGCAUGAACAAGAGAUUAAUGAAAGCAAAACUUAAGUAUUACAAAAAUAUAAAGAGAGAGCAAGAACAUGAUCUUGAUAUGAAGAACCAAGAUUCCUAAAUGAAUGGCAAAUGCCUCCUUUUAUAGGCUAAAAUUCAGAACUAUUCAUUUGGUAAUUGAUUAUUGAUGUAGUGGCCAACUAUUGAUUUAGUGGACUUGGUGGACAGCAGCACUCAAGCAUUUUGGCUGGAUAAAUUGACAUUGAUGCAAUCAGAAUUUGGCAAAGUGUUUCUUAUGCAAGUUGUUGGAAAUCAUCUUAUCUUUCCACCCAUAAAAGUUCAGAGCAUUUGGAUGACUAAAGCUCGAGAUAUGGCUAAACUACUGAGUAGUGCUGCUGGUGGACGUGGUGGAUAGCCCUCAAGCUCUUGUCUGGAUGAAAGGUCAUUGUUACCAUCAGAAUUUGAGCAGGUAUUCUUCAUGAAAGUUGUUGGAAAUUGUCUUUUCCUUCCACCUACCAAAGGUCACAUCAUUUGGCCUUCUAGAACUCCAGAUAUGGGUAAACGUCUGAGCAGUGUUUGGGCUGGAUUGCAGGAUAGAUUCUGGCUUCUCUUUUGUGGCCAAACUUUGGAUUUGAAAACGGCAGAUUUGGGUCUUCCACUAUUCAUGAACAUUGUAGGCCUAUUUCUUAUCUUUCUAUCCAUAUAAAUUAAACUGAAAUCCAAGAUCUAUAGCUCCAGAUAUGACCCAAUAACUGAACAGUGUGUGAAUUUGAAUUGAAUCGGUAUCUCCUUUCUAAGCUUUGCCUUUUCUUUGUCCUUUCACUUUCAAUAGUUAAUAACAUCAAUCAAUCCUUUGAAUUGUGAGAUAUGCCUGCAUUUAAAAUAAGCAUUUACCAUAAAUUAAAGCUAUCUUAUAUUAUCAGACUUGUUAUUAUAAAACAUGCUCUAGAUAAAGAGUUAUUGAUACUUCAAGUGCAAAAUAAUGAUAUAAAACCUUGAUAAAAAUGCACUUUUAAGUACUAAUCAGUGUCCAUGCAAGAUGUGUAAGAAUAAAAAGUUUCUCGAUCCAGAUGUUGUAAUGAUACAUGUUCUACACAAAGGGUUCUUGGAGGAAUAUAUGUGUUGGUAUGCACAUGAAAAACCAUUUGUUCCUCACGAGACCAUGGUCGAAAGGAUGGAUUGGUCAACUUCUAGUGCUAGCAACGUGUAUGGAGUUGUAAAUGACAACAAUAAUUCUUAUAAAACUAUGGUUAUGGAUGCGAUGAGAAUGAAUUAGGGUCAUACCGAUCAAUAUCCAAUCAUAGAAGAAGAACCUACAUGUUGUUACCCAAUUUUUAACCCAUCUUUUUGAUAAAAUUUUCAAAAAUAAAAAAAUAGUGAAAAACAACGAAAAUCCAAAAAAUAUGUUUUUUCAAUGUAUUUGCAUCAUUUUUAUCAUUUUCAACAUUAUCUCAAAAGAAUUUAAAUUUUUAAAAGUCUUUUGAACGCGUUUUACUUUUCACGCGUUAUAUUUUAAAAUCAAUGAUCUUCCUCAUUCAAGUUGAUGUUGAUAAGAAAAAUCUAAAAAAAAAGAAAAAUCAAAUUUAUAAAAAAAGAAAGAAGUUGAGGGACCAAGUUUGGAAACCUAGCAAUAUUUUUACCUAUAAAUACUGGUCUUUAUAACACACACAAGAAGGGGGCAAUUUUGCACAUUUGGAGGUAAAAAAAAAAAAAAAACCUAACCCUAAAACUUCAUCUCUUUCAAACCAGCCCCCGCUCACCAUCUUGAAGAAAGGAGCCACAGCCCCCCGCUCUGAUUUUGUUUGAAACGAAACCGCCAUCCCUCCCGGGGGUCCUUGGGUUUUUUUUGCUCUCCCAGAACCAAAGAGCCAAGGACCCCCUGCCAUUUCAUUUCUUCUCCCCUCUCCUGGCCGGUUCCACCAUCUCCUCCCACUCUCCCUUGCCCUCUGCCAAAAGAAAACCAGUCGCUCAAGCCCCCUUCCCCGGAGCUUUUGCUCCAUCUUCUUCUCCUCUCUCCUUCGACUAUCCUCUAGUGGCAGCCAAACACAGCAAUAGCCCCCACUCUCUUCAUCAUCUCCUUCAACUGGUCAGCAGCAACGCCGUCCUCCACCGGCCUCCAGCAGCAGUCCAAGCACGACAGAACCCAUAGACCCACCGUUGUCCCUUUCCCCAGCGGCGACACCCGCAACUCCAACUUCCAACACUCCUUCCAUAACCGCCAUAUCUGCCGCUUGAAGAAGAAGGAAAGAAUAACAAACCCGAACACAACAGCAGACCCGAGAACGGACCUGCACAAAAAAAAAAAAUUAAAAUCAACUGAUGUUUGUGCGUUGUUUCCCUUGUUGCAGGUGAUGGUGGUCCUCACCGACAACGUAGGAAGACAGAGAAGAAGAAGAUGUUCCCGAUCUACCAGUUUUGUUGCCUUCAUCGGCGUCGGCGCGUGAUCCCACGCGCUGCCAGUGACGGUGACGCGUGGAGCAACGCGCCGCUGCUGUUUCUGCAGUUUUAGAGGGCUUCCCGACACUGUUCCUAAAUUUUUUGGGGUUCAUUUUGUAAAUUUAAAAUUUUUUAAUGUGUUUUUUGGUUUAUUUUGAAUUUUGAUUGAUUUGUAAUCAUGUAAUGGGUGUGUUUAAACAUAGUAAAAGGAAAAUGUUUGAGUGGGUGUUUUGUUAUUAUUUUUUAUGUAUAUGUUGUUUAUGAUAAAACUAAAAAGAAAAAAAGAAAAAAAAAUUAAAUGUUUUAAUUUGCAUUGAAUUUGGUUCAUAUUUCAAAAAAAUAUCAAAAAUAUUUUUUUGGUAUCGGGGAUUAUAAUCUUAUACGUAAGAUGUAUUCUUGAUAUUAAAUUGAAAAGUUUGUUUUGUUUUAUUGAUGCUAAAGCAAUUAGAUUUUCUUUACCUAAUAAAAUAAGGAUCUCUUACCGAGGAUAACUUCUUUUUUUUUACGAAAUCAUUGGCAGGACAAGUUUCAAAAUCUUUUAAAUCACAUCAAAUCACGAAGCAGCUUACCUCAGGUAGGGUGUGUUAGGGGUGCUAAUACCUUCUCUAGCCACAACUAGCCCCUUACCCGUGAAUCUCUGACAAAGACCAGUACAUCUAGGUUUCGUAGUAACCCUGAAUCGAAUACUAGGUGGCGACUCCAAAAGAAUCAAGCAAACGAACGAAAAUCACUAAACAACGCCACGCGGGUGACGUGCGACACUACAUACUUAGAUUAAAUAAUUCUAUUAUUUGCUUCGUAUCGGGUGGCAAGAGGUAACUCAUUAAUCGCAAGAUCAAUCUUUGCUAUUGGUUUUUUGAAAUUCUUCAUAUCCAUGUUCCAUUAGCUUUAUUCAUGUAAAUAUUUUGAUAGAUUUCAACUUGUUUGGUGAUUUCAAUGUAAAUGUAUUUGAAUCUUUUGCAAUAAAAUACUGUAGAAUGACAACUGUUGCUAUCUAAUUUUUGACCCAUCUUUUUAAUAAAAUUUUUGAAAAAUCCAAAAAUAGCGAAAAACAAUGAAAAUUUUAAAAAUAUGUUUUUAAUAUAUUUUCAUCGUUUUUAGCAUUUUCAGCAUUGUCUCAAAAGAAUUUAAAUUUUCAAAGGUAUUUUGAACGCGUUCGACUUUUCACGCAUCAUUUUUAAAAUCAUUGAUUUUUCUUAUUGAGUCGACGUUGAUAUUGCUCAUUUUAAAAAAAUACAAAAAAAAUAAGAAAAAUCAAAAUUUACAAAAAAGAAGAAGUUGAGGGACCAUGUUUGAGGACCAAACAAUAUUUUGCCUAUAAAUAUGAGUCUAUAACACAAAAAAAUGGAGGGGUGGGGCAUUUUUUCACAAUUUGAAGAACCACACAAAACCCUAAAUCACAAAAAACCCUAAAAAUUUGAACCCUUUCUUCUCCCUCACGGAAGCCGCCGCUCAUUCCCUAUCUCUACCAAAAAAAGCCCCCCCCCGGCUUUGAAAUAACCUUUGCUAGGAUCACACCCCACUGGGGGCAAGUGCGAGAGAUAUAGAAAAAAAAAUCAAUGAUUGAAAGUGCCUCAAAUGAACCAGGGGGCAUCAAAACAAAAUUUCUCAAUGGUCAAAGGUGCCCAAACAAAGAUGGGGGCAUGGAGAAAAAUUCAAAGGAUCUAAAAGAUUUGAGUUUCUAAAAAUAACUGAUACGAUGAUACUUAACCAAGUGAAGAAUGAAGAAAAUAAAGAGAAAGAGCCCAAGACCAACAUUGAGGGGCACAAUAGACCAUUUUGGAAAGACAUUCCAAAGAUAAAAGGCCAUCAAAUAAGCACUAGUGAUCCUCUUGAAAUCCCUUAAACACCUUUUGAGCUUAUAAAAGUCAUUUUUCUUCAUAACCAAGAGCCCAAGCCUACAUUACAUGCCUAAUUAAGCUCUUUCUGAUCAAAGGCGAGCAAUUUAGAUUGGUAGGCAAUGUUUUCUUAUGCGAACCAAAUCAUUAUUCAUGCAAAUAAAAUGAAUGUUUUGAAAAUCGAUUCUUUGUAACCCUCAAAUUGAAGUUUGAACCUCUUGACCAACCAAAUGUCAUUUUAUAUUUUCACCAAAAGCAAAACAAAAAGUUUUCAUCACUUCUGAAAACCUCUCCAUAGGAAUCACUUGAAUUUCUUCAGAAUGAGUUUGCUUUGAAUUGAUGUAAAAAUAAUUUCUAUGUCUAGAAUAGCUUUGAAAUUCCAAAAUUUCUGCAUGAAAACAUCUCCUUGUCAAACCUUCCUUCACAUAGUCUCAUCCCCAAACCGAAUUGAAUACUUGGGGGCAUGAUCAAGUUGGGGGGCAAUCGAAAACACCUGGUAAGACUUGCUCCAUGAUUCCCUUUCUAAGAAAAAUAUCGGGCAAAAUUGACAACCCUUGAGAUAAAGGGUGGAGGACAAAGAAGUAUGAUGAUAUCAAGUCCUUCCUAGAGGUCAAUAUCACAAGACAUGACUCAAGUAAGCAUGAGCGAAAAGACCAUCGAAGUUUGCUACCAAGACUCAAACUUUUGAGAAAAGGAAGACUCCAUGAGGAAAAGGAGGACCUAUAUUUCUCAGGUAAGUAUACAUGCAUAUUGAUCAUAAUGCAUUGCUUUCAACAUUAUCAUAUCAGUGUUUCACCAUCACCUUUUGCGUAGUGCAUUUUCUAACCCUACAUCAUUUCGAGUGCGCCUUUGAGUCUUUACUUCUUUUUAGAGCGCUUUUGAGCCCUCACCUCUCAGGUAGGGCAUUUUUUAAUCCUACUUCCUUUCAAGUGCACCUUUGAGCCCUUAUCUUUCAGGUAGUGCGUUUCCUAACCUUGCCUUAUUUUGAGUGCGUCUUUGAGCCCUCAUCUCCCUUCAAGCUUUAUCAUGUCGUCAAGACAUCACACUAUUCUCUUUUUCCACUUGGGUAGGUCACCCAUUAUAAUGAGACCAUCAUUUUUUCUGAGUAGGUCACCCAUUACAAUGAGACCACUCUUCCCUUUUUUUUUCCUUGGGUAGGUCACCCAUUACAAUGACACCAUCAUUUUUUCUAGGUAGGUCACCCAUUACAAUGAGAUCAUUCUCCAUGUUUUUUUUAUCUGGGUAGGUCACCCAUUACAAUGAGAUCAUUCUUCCACCUAAGUAGGUCACCCAUUACAAUGAGACCAUCAUUUUUCUCGGUAGGUCACCUAUUACAAUGAGACCAUUCUUCCACCUGGGUAGGUCACCCAUUACAAUGAGACCACUCUUCCUUUUUUCUCCUUGGGUAGGUCACCAAUUACAAUGAGACCAUUCUUCCACCUGGGUAGGUCACCCAUUACAAUGAGACCACUCUUCCUUUUUUCACUUGGGCAGGUCGCCCCUGAAAAUAGACCAGUGUGAGUGUAUGGGUUGAUCACCCCUGAAAAUAGACCAGUGUGAGUGUGUGGGCUGGUCGCCCCUGAAAAUAGACCAGAAUGAGCAUGUGGGCAGGUUGCCCGUGAAAAUAGACCACUAUGAGCAUGUGUGGGCAGGUCGCCCGUGAAAAUAGGCCAUUGUGAGUGUGUGGGCAGGUCAUCCAUGAAAAUAGACUAAUGUGAGUGUGUGGGCAGGUCUCCUGUGAAAGUAGAUUGAUUUUCUUCAAAAGGGUAGGUUGCCCAAAAUAAUGAGACCAUUUUCUUUUUCUUUUCUUUACAAAGCUUACUAUGCAAAACAUUGAGGAGUUUUGCUUCGUAAGCAUUGUAAAGAGGGAGCAUCUAUUGCUACCCAAUUUUUGACCCAUCUUUUUGAUAAAAUUUUUGAAAAAUCCAAAAAUAGCGAAAAACAAUGAAAUUUUUAAAAAUAUGUUUUUAAUAUAUUUGCAUCGUUUUUAGCAUUUUCAGCAGUCUCAAAAUAAUUUAAAUUUUCAAAGGUCUUUUGAACGCGUUCGACUUUUUCUGUGUCAUUUUUAAAAUAAUUGAUUUUCCUUAUUGAGUCGACGUUGAUAUUGCUCAUUUUCAAAAAAUACAAAAAAAAUAAGAAAAAUCAAAAUUUACAAAAAAAGAAGAAGUUGAGGGACCAUAAAUAUAGGAAUUUACCUGGGAGUUACAGACCAUGUUUGAGGACCAAACAAUAUUUUGCCUAUAAAUAUGAGUCUCCAACACUCAAAAAUGGACGGAGGAGGCAAUUUUGCACAAUUUAAGGAACCACAAAAAACCCUAAAAAUUUGAAACCUUUCUUCUCCCUCACGGAAGCCGCCACUCAUUCCCUAUCUCUACCAAAAACAAACCGCCGCCCCCCCUGGCUUUGAAUUUUCCCUCCCAAGACCAGCACCUCUCUUCUUCGUCCGCACACACGCCUAACCACGACUUCCUCUCUAUCCCCAGCAGCAGCAUCUUUGUCUUCUUCCAACCCCGAUCUGUCUUCCUUUCCUCCACAGACCAGCCAAGACAGUCGCUCACUCUCCUCUCAGCCAGUUUUCACCACUAGCUGCAGUAGCGCCGUCCUCACCAGUGAGCCAACAACCCACACAUAGCAGCGCCUGGACAACACUCUUUGUCAUUUUCUGCAACCGGCCUCCAGCAGCAGCCAACACACGGCGUCAACAGUUCCCAUCUCCACACGACAAACUCAAGAUCAGCUCAAGACACAACCGCCUGAUCUGCCACCUAAGGAAGAGAGAAUACAAGAAAAAAUCAAACCGGGAGGAAGAGAGAAAACAGAAGUGAGACAGAUUUGAAAAGGGAGAAGACUCGAAUGAACCAGAUCUGAAAAGGAGAAAAGAACACUAAAAUCGAUUGCUUGUUGUGAUUUUGGGUGUUUUGCAGGUCAAGGCAUCGCCAUCGGGAGGGAAGGGAAGAGAAGAAGAAAGCAGGUCAGAUCCACCCGUUUACAGGCAUUGCAUGCGACGGCGCGUGAACCCACGCGCCUCCAGUGGCAGUGGCGUGUGGAGCAAAUGCACCACCACAUUUCCUACACCCUUAUAGGGCUGCCCGACACUGUUCUUAAUUUUUUUAGGGUUUAUUUUGUAAAUUUCAAAUUGUUUAAUGUACUGUUUAUUUAAUUUCAAAUUUUUAUAAUUUAUAGCGUGCAAAUGUGCAUGUAAAAAAAAAAAACAAAAAAAUAUAGUAAAAGUGAAUGUGUGUGUGUGUGUUUGAAUUUUUUUUAUGGAUGUUUUUCUUUUGAUAAAACCACAAAGAUAAAAGAAGAAUUUAAUGUUUUGAUUUGCUCAUCGUAAAGGAUAAUGAACUUACAUGUAAGUCGUAUUUGUAAUAUCCGAUGAAAAGAUAAAAUCUUUAAAACUUCUUUAUCACAUCAAAUCACGAAACAACUUACCUUAGAUAGGGUGUGCUAGGGGUGCUAAUACCUUCCCUGGCCACAACCAGUCCCUUAUCCGUGAAUCUCUAACAAGACUAGUACACUUGGGUUUCCUAAUUAUCCUGAACCAAAUACUAGGUGGUGACUCCCAAAGAACAAGCAAACGAACAAAAAUUGUCAUCGAACGCUGCGCGGGCACAAGCGACAAAAACUUGUAUUUAUCUUUAUAUAUAUAUAUAUAUAUAAAAUGUAACAUUCUAAAUGUGAAUGAUUUAUUAGUUGUAAAAACACACAAGCGGUGAGGCGUUUUUGGAGAACAGAAGAGGCGAGUCAUUCCACCUCUUAAUUAUAUUCCUUGCAAAUCAAUUCAAUGCCCACUCCACUCAUUAUUAAAAUCCUGUUGAUUUUAAGUAACCUAAGUUAAUUUAAUUUACCUGAAUCAUGGUUCAGAUCUUGUACUGAGUUGACUCAGUCGAUUGAAAUUUGUUUCUUCUUAGUUAGGGAGUCAAUCAUCCUAAGCACACAAUUCUGCAAGUCUUGACUCAGGAGAGAGGCCCAUUUCCUUAAGAGUAAUGAAAGUUGGAAAUAUAAUAAGGUCCAAAGUGAAGAAGUCCCACUUGAACUGAACCUAGCCGUAGGCUUUGGAUUCCAUGAAAACCCAUAUGAUUUAGGUGUCAAGAUAAAUGCUCGACUGAACAAAAUUUCUUGCCUUUUCUUCUCUCUCUCUCCCUCUCUCUCUCUCUCUCUCUCUCUCUAUUCUACCAAAUACAUGACUAUUAUAAAAUAAUCAGUUUUACAUUCACCCAAAUAAAUCUGCAUAAGAUCAUAUUGAAAAUAAGAUUUAUUUUUAUUAUUUUAAAUAAAAAUAAUAGACUUGAAUUGUUUUGAUAACUCGGUUUGACUUAUAAUUUAGUCACAAACUUUUUUUCAAGCAUAUUUUUAUAACAUAACUAAUUCCGUACCUAUUAACAUAAUGUAAUAAAAAUAGUUAAGGUAUAUAUGUAUUUGACAAACGAUAAAGGGCCAAAACUGAAUAUUUGAACCAAAACAGUCUAAAUCCCUUUUGCUACUUGAACUUUCUUGAAUUAAAUAACUUAAGAUAAUUUAGAAGUGUACAAUAACGUUAUUGAAAUUAUAUUUUUUAAAAAUUAAUUAUUUUUAUUUAAAAUUAAUAUUUUAAUAUUUUCAAAUUGUUUUGAUAUACUAAUAUUAAAAAAAAUUAAAAAUAUUAUUUUAAUAUAUUUUCAAGCAAAAAAUAUUUUGAAUCAUAAUCCUCACCGAACUUCCAAAUAUCUCCUUCUAUUUCUAUUAAAAACCCUAUGAUUUAGACAUCACGACAAUGACCUUAACCUUGUCCAUACAAAAAAUGAAUCAAUCGAUCGAUAUUCUCGUAUAUAUUGAUUGGACAAGUUAAUUUUCAACAAGUUCAUAUAUUUUUAACCGUGCCAUGUUAAAUUAUUGACCCUAAAAUUGUAAGAGUAAACUUUAAACUAAGUAAAAAAAAUUGGUAGAAAUAAAAUAAGCUGCUCUCCCUCCCUUCCCCCAGAGGAGGGGAUAAGGUCAGAAUUAGAAAAUUUGAAGUCCUUUUCCUUCCUUCACCCCAAGGAAAGGUUGCUGGCCUUGGUUUUUGUGUUGUUGAAAUGUCAUAAUCUACAACGUCAUCUUCUUUCUAUAACAAAACAACUAUAUUUAAAAUUGUAGAUGUUUAUUACACUAUUGACUUAGUAUUCUCACAUUUCUAAUUUGUUAUGAGUGUUCUUUCAGAAAUGGCUUUGAACGGGCAUAUUGACUUUUUUCUUAUAUUUAAAAAAAAAAACUAAGUUAGCUGNNNNNNNNNNNNNNNNNNNNNNNNNNNNNNNNNNNNNNNNNNNNNNNNNNNNNNNNNNNNNNNNNNNNNNNNNNNNNNNNNNNNNNNNNNNNNNNNNNNNUUAUAUCACUUUGAUGUAUUAAAAAAGACUUAAUACAUUUAUUUAUAAGUUGGUCUGAGAUUUGAACUAAAAUAAUAAUAAAAAAAAAAAAACCUAAUGAGAAUCUCAGAAGAUUUAUAUAUAUAAAAAAAACCUAAUGAGAAUCAACUUCUUAACAUCAAAUCAACUUCUUAAGAUUUAUAUAAAAAAACCUUACUAAUUAAAUUGAAAUCUAUCAUAAAAAAAACCUAAUGAGAAUCUCAGAAGAUACAAGGCAGGAUGCAUGCAUAUGUUUUCCAAGAGUUAUAAUUUACAACAAAUCAUACAAUCAUUUUGAUAAUAGUUGAAGUGUUUUAUUUUAAAAACCUUUAUGAGAUAAUGAUAUUUCGAUGAAAAUAAAAUUAUAAAAAAUACAAAUAAAAGUAUUGAUAUGCAAAACUAAAAGAAUAAUCUAAAAUAACUUUAAGAGGUAACUCAACUAGUCAGGAUUUGGGUGUACUUUCUAAUAGUCACGAGUUCUAGUCUUAUCAUGGCUACUGAAGGUUUAUAUGGUUAUUAACUUCAAAACUCGUGAAAUUAAUUAAAAUACAAGUAAACUGAUGUAGAUAUUUACAUUAAUAAUAAUAAUAAUAAUAAUAAAUCCAAGAGAAUAUAUACAAAUAUAAGUCGAAACCUACCGCCAUUUUCGUUAGAAGAACAUAAACCUACUACCCGUGUAGUGAGUCAACUUGAUGUGCACUUGUAAUUAAGAAUAUACUUAGAGUAUACACGGGACCAACCUACAUGUGAUAUUUAAUACUGAAGAUAGGUAGGCAGAAGCUAAUUCAUUUGUAGGAUUCGAUGUUUAUCUCUCUGGAUUAAAUAAUUAUAUUCUUUGCUUCGUAUCGGCUGGCAAGAAUCGAGAGGUACCUCAUUAAUCGCAAGAUCAAUCUUCAUAUUUUUAUAAAUUUCGACUUCUUCAGUGAUUUCAAUGUAAAUGUAUAAUUAGAAUAUUUUGCAAUAAAAUAAAUUAUAAUUAAAUCUUUGAAUAAAUUCAUCCAUUCAUCAAUGUUAUGUUACUGAAACGACAUUAAAUUAAUCACUGAACAAGUUGAUUAAUUCAAACAACACGCAUUCAAUCAAUAUAAUGGUCUUGAAGAUAAGUGAAUGAACGUUAAACAAUCAAUAAGUUGGGAUUAGAAACUACUGCAUGUAGUUUCUAAUCAAUCACCAUAAUACGGUUAUGAUCAAACAGCACAUACUUAAUGAAGACCAUUCAUCAGUCAACUACUGCAUGUAGAAUAAAAACUUGGAUUUAUCGUUCACCUAACCACUUUGUAAUUUUAUGGAUUGCUUAGCACAUACUUCGAUAUGAUCUUAAUUACUAUUCACUAUCAUGUUGCUUAAUAUUGAUUGGUUAUGUUAUUAUUGGAAAUUCGAAUUCCACGAAGUAAACUAUAAGGCAUGAUCGGUUUGGACGAGGAUGACUUGAUUUGAAAAUAAAAAAAAAUAAUUAUGAUAAGUGAAAGAUGGCUUAAGAGUCUAAUCACUGCUAUUCAUGAUUUAUUUUGUAAGAAGAUGGAUUUUAUCCAUUAUUUGGUACAUAUACUUUUUUUUUUUUAUUGGAGCCUCUUAUGUUUUUUUAUUUAUAAUUGAUUGAGUCCCUCUACUCUUUCUUUUGUUUUGUAAUACUAUGAUUUCAUGCGCUUACAUGGAAUUUUCUUUUAGAUACUAAAUUGAAUGCUUGACGACGCAUGAUCCAAUAACUCCUAUUUUUUAAAAAAUUCUCUCUUUUGAUAUGAAAAUUAAAUGAUUAAAAUAAAAUAAAUAAAUUAGCCUAAACAAACCUAAUUAAUUAAAGUAAUUCAAUUAAUUUCCACAUGUUUAUUUUCUUUUCUUUAUUUCUUUCAUUACGUAAUCUAAAAAAAUAAAAGAGUUAAUUCAAUAGAAAAAAUGUCAUGUAGACAUAUAUCAGUUUGAUGUAUUAAAAAAGAUUUAAUAAAUUUAUUUGUAAGUUGGUCUCCAAAUUUGAACUAAAAUAAUAAUAAUAAUAAUAAAAUCUCUUUGAGCAUCAAACCAACUUUAAAAUUUAUAUAAAAAAACUUCCUAAUUAAAAUCUUUAAACUUUGAACUUGAAAUUUAUUUCAGAUUGGGUUCAUAUUUGAAUAGUCUGGAAAAUUAACCAGGAUAAAAUUCAGGUAAAAUUUGGUUAACAAUUUUAUUUUUAUUGUUUUUUUUAAUAAUAACAAAGUUAUUUUUUAAUUUUUUUAUACUAGAAAAAAACAAUUCUCAAUGAGUAGGCAGCAGCAAUCAAGUUAAUGACAAAACAUAUUUGUUUCCUCAACUUUGCUUGCUUACAAUAUAUUCAUAUGAUAUGGUCAACUAUGACUGUUUUGUGAGUCAUUGAUCUUUCGCUGUUAGCUUCACUGCGUAAAAGAUACAUAUUUAACAAUUAUCAACUAAUAGAUGAAGCCUAUAUCCAAACCAAUCGCACAGCCUUUCGUCCUCCAAGUUCCUUCUAUUUUUCUUAUGUACACAAUUAACAUAUCCUCAAUUACCCUUUUGAUUUUUAUUUUUUUAAUGAAUUAAUUAUGUCAAUAAAAUUUAUAAGAGACGUAGAGGAGGGCAUGAAUAGCACUAGCUAGAAGUCAGUGUAUCAAUGUUAAUGCUCCUCAAAAAGUCAAUGCUGGUGAAGUUGGUAGCAAAAAUAAAUAAUAAUAAAAACAAAUUAAUUGAGUAGCUACAGCUAGAGAGCCAAAUAAAUUGCAGAAGACGUCACACCUUCAUUAAUUAUUGGUUGUAAAUGCCUAUCUAAGGAAACAAUAUUUAAUCUUAUGUGCAGAACUUGAGAGGGAUUCACAGACAUUUUUGUAUUGCUUCUAAGACCUCCCAAAACAACCCAAAAGAAGAUAAAGAAGAGAAAACUCCAUGUUAUUUCUUUAAUACAUCCUACUUUUUUGGAUUUGAAGAUUUUAUAAGUUAAUACUAUUUUAUAUUUAAUUUUUAUCAAAUAAAAUAAAGUGAUGAGAUUUAAACUCAUGAUUACUUGAUCAAUAAAAUUUUAAUAUUAUGAUGAAGAAUUAUUUCAAUUUAAAAAUUUAAAUUAUUGAAUAAAAUCUCGAGAUAUAAUUUAUAUAUUUUUUAAAACAUAACCCAUAAGGGUUUAAGUGAAGGAUAUUAGAGUAUAAAACCAAUCCGGGAUAUAAUAUAAAUUUCUAAAUUUUAAACUUUUGGACAACAAAUAAUUAGUCGACAACUAAUUUGUCUAGUGUUGGUUCAAAUUCUAACUUGGUCAAAGUCUAAGGAAUCCCCUCCAUUAGGCCUUCAUUAGGCACGUAGUUUCCCAAAAUCUAUCCCCUCUAAACUUGAAAGAUAAUUCAAGGGAGAGAGGGUUUCUCAAUAUUAUGAAAGGAAAACCAACAUGGUUAGUACUGGGCAUGACCAUAUUGGAGUAAUAGUUUUAGGAUAAUCUACAAGGUUGGUGUGAUCACAUUUCCAAACCCCACAAAUUAAUGAAAUUUUCAGAAGCCCUUUUAAUUUUCAUACAUGUUUGAAUUUUCUUCUUAUUCGUCCACUUGUUAGUUCCUUCACAGAAUUUUCAAUGAAGAAUAAAGGAAAAAACUAUGAGUAUAACGAUAAAUUAAUAAAAAGAUUCUUCUGUGGGGAAUCAUGAACCAGAAUAAUAAUGAAUUGGAAAUGAGUUAGGUGUUGUAGUGGGUAACGAGUACCUCACUCGUUGAUGAAUUCAUGGUUUUAUAAACGUAAUCAUUUACUACUGUUCCUGCUCCUACCUUUCACACCUACUGCAUGUCCACACAAUCAUUAUUACUAUAAAUAUGUAGCAAGUUUGCCUUCCCAUGCAUUCCAUUUCAAGCAAAAAUAUUCUUGACUGCUGAGGUAGAGCCACCAUUUAUCACAGUUUGCAGCAAACAUACUUUUUGUGCGAUGGCAACACCACCUUCCUUAUCGUUCGCCGUCCGAAGGUGCGAACCAGAAUUGAUUGCUCCAGCUAAGGCCACACCUCAUGAAUUCAGACAGCUUUCUGAUAUUGAUCGACAACUAUACCUCCAAUUUCAAUCACCACAUUACAACUUGUAUGCACACAAUCCAUCGAUGCAAGGGAAAGAUCCUGUGAAGGUAAUAAAGGAGGCAAUUGCGCAGGCACUUGUGUAUUAUUACCCUUUUGCUGGUAGGAUUAGACAAGGGCCAGACAAUAAGCUUAUAGUUGAUUGUACUGGUGAGGGUGUCUUGUUCAUCGAAGCCGAUGCCGAUGCCACGGUCGAGCAGUUUGGUGAUCCAAUUCCAUCUCCAUUCCCAUGUUUUCAGGAACUUCUUUACAACGUCCCAGGAUCAGAAGGGAUCCUCAAUACCCCAUUAUUGCUUUUUCAGGUACGUAUAGGACAUUAUUGGCUAAUGUUUAUUCAUUCUUUCAUUAUUAUUAUUAAUAUUAUCGAGAAAAUUCAAAAAUAUAAUUAAAACAAUGAUGGUAAUAUUCCAUCAAUUACAUUCUCAUAAAGUAUUAAUAAUUUUACGUUAUAUUAACAGGUGACACGCUUGAAGUGUGGCGGUUUUGUACUUGGGUUCCGUCUUAAUCACCCAAUGACCGAUGCACUCGGCAUAGUUCAGCUAUUGAAUGCCAUAGGUGAGAUUGCACGAGGUGCCCAAGCCCCUUCAAUUCUACCUGUGUGGCAAAGGGAACUCCUCUGUGCUAGGAAUCCGCCACGAGUUACAUGCAGACACAAUGAAUAUGGUAAUGAUGCUCCUGUUGCUGUUGAUCCUACAGCCAAGGUGCCUGAAUUCCACGGCCAGGUUCACGCUGUAGCCCACCGUAGUUUUGUUCUCAACCGCAAGGAAUUAUCCAACAUUCGUAGAUGGAUUCCUUCUCAUUUACACCCAUGUUCAAAUUUUGAGGUAAUAAGUGCAUGCUUAUGGAGAUGCUAUGCCAUGGCAUCUCAAGCUAACCCUAAUGAGGAGAUGCGCAUGCAAAUGCUUGUUAACGCACGUUCCAAAUUUAACCCUCCAUUACCGAAAGGAUAUUAUGGUAACGUGCUAGCUUUGCCAGCAGCUGUAACAAAUGCUAGGAAGCUUUGCUUAAACUCUUUAGGGUAUGCUGUGGAAAUGAUAAGAAAUGCCAAGAAUAGAAUAACUGAGGAGUACAUGAGAUCAUUGGCUGAUCUAAUGGAGAUAACCAAAGGGCAGCCUAUAGGGUUACAAUCAUAUGUCGUGUCAGACUUAACAAGUAUUGGGUUCGAUCAGGUGGACUAUGGAUGGGGCAACACAAUUUACACUGGGCCACCCAAGGCCAUGCCUGAUGAAAUUUCUAUUGCAGGAACCUAUUUCCUGCCGUAUCGAUUCAAGAACGGAGAGCGUGGGGUUAUGCUUUUGGUUUCCUUACGUGCACCAGUUAUGGAGAGAUUUGCAAUACUAUUAGAGGAAUUGGCAAGGCAUGACCCAGAAAGAAGCCAAGAACAACAAGAAAUGAUACCAAGCUCCCUAUAAGACAGAGGAAAGGCUAUGAUAUUAUUCUAUUCUUGGCCGGAUAAGCCUUUGGUACCAAAAAAAAUAUUUUAAAGCAGAUGGUGGCGAAGUUUGAAUAAGCCUUUAAAUUUAUUUACUACCAGCAAGCCCGUACUCUUUGACCUUGUUGUGAUUGUAUACUUAGAUAUAUGAGUUGGAGUUGUAAUGAAAAUUUGGUGAUUUGUGUGGUUUCAAAUUGUUUACAGUUGUAAAAUUUAAGUCUCAUGACUUUUAUAUUCAAUAAUAAGAUCAAUAUUUGGUUUCCAAUAGUUUUAUUGAUCCUUGUUUCGUGAGUUAAUUAGGGUUUUGAUCUUUUAUAUAAAAACAAAUUAGGGUUUUGAUCAACAUAUAAAUGCCAUUUUGUUGAGCAAAAAUGACUGCAAAUUCAUUGGACAACAACCGUUGAUUUUUACUAUUUUUUUGCCUGAGUCAAAGCAGCACCAUAAUAACUUAGGAAAGCUGCAUAGAAUUUUGUUUGAGUUACAUUUUUAAGUUGCUUUUAGAUGAAAAAAACUUUUUUAAAAAGAAUAUUCAAGAAUUUUAUCAUUUGUUUAUGGAUUUUAACUCAAAAGUUAAUUAAAGUGAGAAAGCAUAGAGAGGAAGUUGUGAACAAGAAAUUAAAACAAAUCUAUACAAAUACGGUUUAUCUAAACUUGUACAAAGUGUUUUUAAACCCAUGCUGGAUUAGUCCGUCCGACAAGAAAUUUGCUGACACAACCACAUAACUUUUUUGAAUUGAACCUAUAAUAAGUUCAAAUAAAAAAAAAUAUUUGGUUUUCAAUAAGGUAUAGUUAAAUUAAAAUUUUAAUUUCUUUCUUUAAUUUAUAUAAAUUAUCAUCAGUUUCGCUAAAAAGUAUAAUGAGUUUAAUUUCAACUAUAAUAAUAAUGAUUUUAUAAUAUUUAGAAAGAGAUAGAGUUUUUUUUUUUCCGAUUUCUAGUUAAUUAUUACAAACAAGUUUUUAAUGUCUUGACUAUUGUCUAAAUAAAGACUUGGGGAAAACUGGAAGGUUUUUGAAUUUCGGAGAGCCAAAAGAUUUAAACAGAAGGAAGAAGAGUAAUAAUUUUCAAACAUUAAUUUUAAGUUUUUUUUAAGGAAUCAAGUGAAUCAACUCUCUGCUCUUUCUCUCAAUAUAAUAUAAGAGAUGAAAACGGGGCGCUUGAAUGCUGACAAUAUUAUCUCGAUUAUCCUAAAAAAAAAAAAAAGUCAUUGCUAUUAUUUGACAAAAGAAAAAUGAAAAAAUAUAUAUAAAAAAAGAGAGAAAAAGUCAAUGCUGGUGAGGUUGACGUAUAAUUAUUACAUUGAGCUUCGUUAAAAAAAAAACUCUAUAGUGUAAUUUUUUUUCCUUUUCCACAUAUCUUUAUGAGUCACUUACUAUUCCAAGUUUAUUUAAUGUAAAAAUCUCAAUAAAUUAUUGAGCUUUAUUUGCACUAGUGUUACCUAUAAAAUAAAUUUUUCGAUCUCUAAGUUAGUUUUUGAAUUUAAUUGUUUUAGCAAGUCAAUAAUUGAGCCAAAAAGAUGAUUUUUCAUGUCUAGUGGAGAGAUGAGUCACUACUAGUAAAUCUACGAAUACAAAUGGAAUCACUGAUGAAUUUUUUUCUUCAGUAUUUUGGGGUGAUGUUUACCGACUAAAUUUUUCCUAUCGCUAACUCCGUCGGUAUUUACCAACAGAAAUAUAUCGUCGGUAUAUAUUAAGGGAAUCCAAGUUGAAAUAGAAGAAAUUAAAAAAAAUCAAACAGUAUUGUUGCUACCUAAUUUUUGACCCAUGUUUUUGAUAAAUUUUCAGAAAAAAAAUAGCAAAAAAAAUAAAAUUGAAAACCCCAAAAAAAAUGCAUUUUGAUAUAUUUGCAUCAUUUUUAGCUUUUUCAACGUAAUCUAAGAAGAAUUUAAAUUUUCAAAGGUAUUUUGAACGUGUUCAACUUUUAGCGCAUUAAUUUUACAAUCACUGAUUUUUCUUGUUGAGUCGACGUUGAUAUUGCUCGCUUUAAAAAAUACAAAAAAAUAAGAAAAAUCAAAAUUUACAAAAAAACAAAAGAAAAGUAAAAGAAAAAGAAAAGUUGAGGGAGCAGUUUGGAAACCUACCAACAUUUUAGCUAUAAAUACAGUGAAAAAUGUCAACAUCAAGGGGAAAAAAUUACUCACGAGGGCAGAAAAUUUACAAGGGGCAAGAUAAGAAAAAAAAGAGAAAAACCCUAAAAAAGGAACCCUAAACUAGGGGUGAGCAAAAAAACCGAUAAACCAAUUAAACCGAGAAAACCGGAAAAAAAAAUUGAAAAAACCGAACCGAAAAAAAAAACCGAAUUAACCGAUUAAAAAAUCACAAAAAAAUCCGGUUCGGUUCGGUUUCGGUUUCUAAAGUCUGAAACCGAUUGAACCGAACCGGUUCAACCAGCCAACACUUAAAAAAAAAGUAAGUAUAAAUACAACACUUUUUAACCCUAAAAUCACUUUUAGCCAUCAGCCGCCCCUUCCCUCCCUUUACCCCCCCUUCCCCUUCUCUGCAUAUCCCUCCCUCCUUUUAGCCCCCUCAUCCCCUUCUCUGCAUACCCCCCUUCUCUACAUAUCCCUCCCUCCCUUUAGCCCCCCCUUCCCCUUCUCUGCAUAUCCCUCUCCUUUGCUUUGAUUUUUCUCCCCUCCCUUUACUCUUUGUAAACCUAAAGUUACAGGUUUUAUGGGGUGCAUGCAUGAUGUGGGUAAGUGCCAAGUUGUGGAUUUUUUUUCCUUUCAUUCCCCCCUUUUUUUUUCCCUGUUAUCUUUUGCUGGCUUGUGUGGCUGUUGGUUUGGACAAUUUGUUUAUACAAGUUUCAGCAAACAAACAUGACAUCUUUUCUUUAUUAUGCGUAGCAGAAGCUUUGGAUUUGGAGGCUCUUGUUUUAAUUGUGGGCGGUCGGGGCACAGAACAUCAAAAUGCCCAAACAAGAAAGAUUUUUAGUUGCCUUCUUCGACGUAGGGAUUAGGGAUUGUUUUUGGACUGUGAACAAGUUGGAAUAAUUUCGGUUUGAACUGGUUUGGAAGGGCAAAAACCGAACCGAACCAAACCAAAAUUAAUCGGUUUGAACCGGUUUUCGGUUCGGUUCGGUUCAAAAAAUUAAAAAAUAAAUAAAUCGGUUUGGUUGUUUAUUUUGGUUCAAAACUGGACCGACCGGAAAUGCUCAGCCCAACCCUAAACUUCUCCUUUUGACAGAGAAGCCGCCGCCACCCUCUGGCGAUCUGACUUUUCUCUCUUGGCCGCCUCCCUGUAACCUUUUCCAAAGAGAACCGGAGCCGCUCACUUGCCUCUGGCAAAAAAACACUGAGCCGCUGCUCCCCGUUCCUCUCAUUUUUUAACUUUCAGCAUAACCCCUCCCCUGAUUUCCCUUUCCUUUAAAAAAACCAGAGAGACCUUUCCCUCUCUCGGUUGUCUCUCCCUACUGGCCGCUCACAUUUUGGCCCCUGACCAUCUUCCCCUCUUUCCCUGUUGAGGUCGGUCGGCCCCCUUCCCUUUUGAAAAACCAUAAAACCAAGCCACAGCUGUCGUUCCCCCUUUCCUCAGAUCUGAUUCCCAGCCUUUUUUCCCUCUCAGUUGCAGGAACAAAGGACGAACCGGGCAGAAACCCAGCUCUCUCCUCUCUCAGCCAGCCACUACACACUCCUUUCAUCCUCACCCGGCAGAACCAGAGAAAGAACCUCCAGCCACUGCUUCCCCGUCUCCACCGACCCUUUCACUGUCAGCCACAUCAGCGCUGUCCUCACCGGAGACCAGCCCCACAAACACCGCCGCCCACUGACACAGGGGACCAGCCCUCAACUAUUUCCUUCUGAACCAGCUACCAGCUCGCCAAAUGCCGGCAGAAUCUACCACUAGCAAAACCAUCAGCAACCGGCUCUCCUCCGACUCAAACCCGUGUAGCAGACUGUUACGGGGAAGAUAGUAAGAGAACCGAACUGGAUGAUAUCCAGUGGUGGCUAUAGAGGAGGUAGAGAUUAUAGGGCUGUAAUUAAUUGAGAGGCCGUUGAUACCACACCAACAACACACUGAUAGUAUUUACCUAAAAUAAAGGAAUUCAUGCUUUUAUUAUAAUUCUUGUUAUCCUUCUGUUAACAUGCACGUAGCUUUAUAUAGAAUAACUACCUUCUAAAUGGUUCUGAGAACCUUCAGCACGCAGGUUGUGUGCUUAACUGCCAUGCAGUAUUUUAUGGAAUAAAACGGUACGUAUGAGUUACUAAAUGAAACGGUGCAUAUGGGUUAUAUAACGACUACUAUAUUUUUGAAUUCAUGAUAAGAGUUUGUUCUUCCUCCUAUUCCAAUUCGUCUUCAGCUGGUAACAAUUGGCCCUCCUUAAAACCAACCUUGUCCUCAAGGUUGAAUAAUGGAAAUCGCAGCUUAAAUUCCUCUAGGUCUUCCCAGGUGGCAUCAGCAAGAGCUAGUCCCUCCCAGAGUAUCAACACUUGAGUUUUCGCUUGAUUCUGACAUUGAACCAUACGUCUGUCUAAAACGUUUUAUGGUUGUAGGACAGCUGUUUGAGGUAUCAUAGGAGGAGUACCCUGCACUGUGUGAUUACCCUUAUGUUUUUUGAGCUGAGAGACGUGGAACACUGGAUGAAUAUCACUUCUUUUCCUGUUAGCCACCAUAGUCAUCAUAUUCUGGGCUGCUAGGAGAUGCUCCCGGACUCUCUUUAUGAUUUCUUCUUUAGCUGAUAAAUACUCAUCGACUGAUUCCACAACAGAAUCCUUAGGAAGGUAGGGAAUGUGCAGGGGUGGAGGAACCCCAUAUAACACUUGAUAAGGGGUCAUCUUGGUAGCUGAGUGGUAGUUAGUAUUGUACCACCAUUCAACUAAGGGUAACCACUUUGCCCACUGAUUUGGGCAUUCACCCGUCAUGCAUCGUAAGUACUGUUCAAUGCAUUUGUUAACAAUUUCUGUUUGGGCAUCCGUUUGUGGGUGGUAGGCUGAGGAGUAGUUGAGGUUGACGCCUUGGCUGGUGAAUAACUCUUUCCAAAACCUGCUCAAGAAAACAGGAUCCCUAUCACUGGUUAUAGAAGUUGGUAACUCGUGUAGCUUAUAGACAUUGUUCAUGAAUAUUUUGGCCACCUCUGAGGCAAAAUAAGGAUGACUGAGGGCCAUGCAGUGGGCGUAUUUGCUGAAAUGAUUCACAACAACCAAUAUCACAUCCUUCCCUUCGGAUUUUGGGAGUCCUUCGACAAAAUCCAUGUUGAUGUCGAUGAAAGGAGCUGAAGGAAUGGGUAACGGUUGUAGGAGUCCAAGGCUUACCAUGUUCUCAUGUUUGUUCCUCUGACAAACAUUGCAUUCCUUGAUGAAUUGCCUAAUGUGCUUCUGCUGACCCUUCCAAUAAAAUAAUCCUCCAAUGGUUUUAGCAGUUACUGUCAUGCCUGAAUGCCCCCCCACAGCUGAAUUAUGGAACAUAAAUAUGAGCUUGUCUUGCAGUUCAGGAUCCUUCCCUACUACCACCUUCCCUCUCCUGUUAAGGUGAUCAUUCACCCAAGUGUAGUGGGGAUGGGUGUUGGUAGACUCUUGUAAGUGCUUGAUGAUCUCUUGGAGUGCUACAUCGCCUUCGUAGGACUUCCUGAUUUUUGCCAGGAGGCCUGUUGAAAUGGUAGAAGUGGUCAGGGCAUACACUUCUUUGUUGGGAAUCCUGGAAAGAGCAUCUGCUGGGACGUUUUCUCUUCCUUGUUUGUAUUCUAUAUCAUAGUUGUACCCUAGUAAUUUCACCAACCAUAAAUGUUGUGCUGGAGUGGUCAACUUUUACUGUAGGAGGUACUUUAAGCUGAUGUGAUCUGUUCUGAUAAUAAAAUGGCAUCCCCAAAGAUAGUGCUUCCAUUUAGUAAUUGCCUGAAGAAUAGCCAGCAUUUCCCUCUCGUUUAGGUCCCAACGAUUUGCUAAGGAACACAAUGGGGUGUCCUUAUUGCAUAAGAACUGCUCCCACGCCAAUAAUGGAUGCAUCAGUCUCUACUAUGAAUGUUUUGUUGAAGUCUGGCAGGGCUAAUACAGGGGCACUGGUCAUAACCUUUUUCAACUGAUUGAAUGCUUCGGUAGCAGCCUCGUUCCAUCCAGUUGCCUCCUUUUUGAGCAGCUGAGUUAGUGGUUUGCAAAUAUUGCCAUAACCUUUAACGAACCUUCUGUAGUAGCCCGUCAAUCCCAAAAAUCCCCGUAUUUAUUUCAAUGUUAUGGGCAUUGGCCAGUUGAUAAUGGCCAGUAUUUUGUAGGGGUCUGUCACCACUCCUUGCUCAGAAAUUAUGUGUCCUAAAUACUCCACCUGGUUUCGGCCGAAGAAGCAUUUGCUAGCUUUUGCUACCAGAUGAUGUUCCCUGAGUAUGUUGAGAACGGUAGCCAGAUGCUCAUAAUGUUCUGUAAGUGUAUGGCUGUAAACCAAGAUGUCGUCAAAGAAUACUAGGAUGAAUUUCCUCAGAUGCUCCCUAAAAAUCUCAUUCAUUAUACUCUGGAAAGUGGCAGGGGCAUUGGUUAGCCCAAACAACAUAACCAAGAACUCGUAGUGGCCACUGUGAGUUCUGAAGGCAGUUUUAAAUUCUUCCCCUCUUGCCAUGCGAAUCUGAUGGUAGCCUGAACGUAAGUCGAUCUUGGAGAAUAUAUAAGCUCCUACUAAUUCUUCCAAAAGUUCCUCAAUCAUGGGAAUAUGAUACUUAUCCUUGAGGGUAAGUUUAUUCAAUGCUUUGUAAUCUACACAUAGACACCAUGUAGAGUCCUUUUUCUUGACAAGAAUAUUGGUGAAGCAAACGGGCUGUUGCUGGUUCUUAUGAUUUUUUCCCUCAGCAUCUCUUUCACCAUUUCCUCCAAUGUGUCCUUUUGAAAGCUAGAGUAUCUGUAAGGUCGUAGAUUAACCGAAUUCCCUCCUUCCUUUAGAGGAAUCCUGUGAUCAUGGGAUCUGAGAGGGGGCAGCCCUUUGGGUUCCUGAAACAAGUCAAUAUAUCCUGCCAAAAGGUUCUGCAGAUGGUUGGCUUGAUUACCUAUUGAAGGAAUAGAGAAAGUAGUGGUCUCAGGAAUGGUUCCUGCCUCCACCUCUUCUAUCAUCUGUAAGUUACAUAAAUGGUACCUGACACGACCAAAAGAUUGAUGUCUUCUCCCAAGUGCAGGAGUGUCGAAGUAAUAAAUAACCCGGCAAGACCGGGGUCGAACCACAGAGAGGUUAAUUGUAUAAAUUAUAAAUAACAAUGCAACAACAAUAAUAACUCAGUACGUGGCAUUGUUAUACCUGAGAAUGAUCUAAAAGAUCAGGUCACAGGUUUCCAGCCUAUAUACUGAUUUUAUGAAAAGAUCAAAGAGAUAUAUUAUAUAAUAUAAACAGAUUUCUGAUGCGAAUGAACAAGGCAAGACCAACAAUGUCAGGAUCCUUGAUCAAACACAGAGCAUACUUAACGUACAUAACAUAUAACAGGAAUGUAAAUAAUAAUAAUAAUAAUAAUAAUAAUAAUAUUAAUAGUAGUAGUAGUAGUAGUAAUAGUAGUAAUAAUAAUAAUAAAAAGAAGAAGAGGAAGAAAUUAAUGAGAACUUUGAGAUGGAAGAUUAAUGUAAGGAUUAAACAAUGAUAAAAACAAAUGUCAAGGUUAGAGGAUUCACUUAUGGUAUUUCAAAUAAAUAUAAUAUAAACUCUUUUUAUUACUCAACUAGAAACCACACACAAAGGAGGUUCUAAUCGGAUGAUUUAUCAUUAAUGGCUCAUUAUAAAGUAUUAACAUGAUCAUAUUAAUUAUCUUGUCUAAGUAACACCAUACUUAUAAAUAUCAUCAGGCAUUCAUGUUGCUAGCUUAUGUUAACAACAAAUCAAGUUCCUAUCAUAACAACGAUGUCGGCCGAAAACUAUGAAGGAUCAAGCAUUUGAUGUACCAAGUGUUAUACAACAUAAAUCUAGAUUAACCAUUUAACAAGCAAGGUAUUAAGGAUUAGUAAGAUAAAAAGAUAAGACAUGCUAAUAACAAUUUUUCUUGGAUAUAAACAUUAAAGUCCAUGUUGAGUUUAUAUUAUACCUAUUCUAACACCAUUAGUAAAACCUUUUCACCUUGACAUAAUUAACUUAGCUAAACAUAAUGAAGAAGAAAAACAUAAAUAAACAACAUAAGAACAUAAACAUGAUAUAAGUUAACUAAUUAUAGGAAAGGAAAUGAAAAAGCAUAAACAAGAGAUUAAUAUAACAUGAAAGAAAACUUGAACAUUACAAAGAUAUAAAGAAAGCAAGCAAGAACAUGAUCUUGAUCUGAAAAAUAAUAUGACUAAAUACAUGGCAAAUGCCUCCUUUUAUAGGCUAAGAUUCAGAACUAUUGAUUGGUAGGCUACCAUUGAUUUGGUGGCUGGUUUUUGACAUUGUUGGCUGCUAGUUCUUGAUAUUGUUGGCAGAUUUUUGAUAUUGUUGGCUGCUGGUUCUUGAUAUUGUUGGCUGAUUUUUGAUAUUGUUGGCUGGCCAAAACGUCAUUGCUAACAUCAGAAUUUGAGCCCUUUGUUCCAUGAAAGCUGUGGGCAAUUGUCUCAGCUUUCCAACAAAAAAAACCAGAGCUCAUUUGGACUUCUAGAACUCAAGAUAUGAGCUGAAAACCGAACAGUGUUUGAGUUGCAGGACAGGUUCCGACGUCUCCGUUGUUGCUAAGAUUUGAACUUGAAAACGGCAGAAUUGAGUCUUGGACCCUUCAUGAAUGUUUUAGGUCUAUGUCGUAUCUUUCCAUCCAUAUAAAGUGGACCUAAAUCCGAGUUCUACAACUCCAGUUAUGAUCAAAUAACCGAAUGGUGUUCCAGUUUGGAAUUGAACCAGCAUCUCUUCUCUUAGCCUAGUCCUCUUUUUGUCUCUUCACUUUCAAUUGUUAAUCACAGCAAUCAAUCCUUUGAAUUGUGAGAUAUAUCUGCAUUCAAAACAAGCAUUUACCAUAAAUUAAAGAUAUAUUAUAUUAUUAGACUUGUUAUUAUAAAACAUGCUUUAGUUAGGGAAUUUAACGAUACUUUAGUGCAAUACGAUGAUAUAAAGCCUUAAUGAGAAUGCACUUUUAAGUACUAAUCAGUACCCCUCCAACUGGCCGUGACUCCCUGCUAGAGAAUUAAGAUGCUCCAAUUCAAUAUAUUGUAGUUUUGGUGGGUUUUCACCUUUUAGCAAAACCCUUUUCCCUUGCCAGUCGAAUGACAUCCACAAAUGUUUGUAGUUGCACAAUAUGUCACCCAGUAGUGAUAGCCAUUGUAUACCUAUCACCAUCUCACAAUUACUUAGGUCUAUGAUGAAUACAUCAGCCACAAAGCUUAUCCCUUGCAUCAUCCACCUUAGGCCCUUGCAUAUAGAUUUGCAGACCAUUCUUUCACCAUUAGCUGCUUGCGCUGAAGUUUGAGUGCCAACUCAGCGUUAAGGAAGUUGUGAAUACUUCCUGAGUCUAUCAGAAUACUCACAGUGGUUUUGUCCAAUCUACUGGUAACCUUCAUUGUGUUGAGCCCUACAGUACCUUCCAAUGCGUCCAGGGAGAUGUGGGGUGAGAGCUCUCUCGCCUGGAGGUCAUCUCCAGUUGGCUCUUUUGUAGUGACUUCAUCCUCUUCUUCAGUUAUACUUAAGGAAUACAACCUUUUACUUCUACAUCUAUGGCCAGGAAUGAACUUAUCAUCACACCAAAAACAUAACCCCUUAAGCCUCUUUUCCUCGAAUUCUUGGUUUUUUAGAGAUUUGGUUGGUUUAGUGGAGUUCCUGUAAGUGGAGGUGGAAGGAUUAUUGUGCCAGGGAGCUGGAUUUGGUUUGAUGGGGGUAUUAUGCAUGGUCGUUGGAUUCUGCGUGGAGUUUGGGGUUGUGGGAAGGUGUGGUUGGGUGGUCAUAAUAGGUGGAGAGUAACGUUUUGGGGAACUGGAAAAUUUCUUGUAGGAGAGAGUGUUGGCUUGUAACCUGGCUAAAUUAUAAGCAUGUUUAAGAGUCUUGGGUUCAAACAUUUUUACCGUGUUUUUGAUCUCCAACUCCAAUCCUCUCAGGAAUAUGACUAGCGAUUGUUUUUCAUUGAUUUCUACCUUGUUCCACAAAAUAUCAAAAUCUCGGAUAUAUUCUUCCAGAUUCCCUCGUUGUUUAAGUCCAUUAAUUCCUCUAAGGGGUCCUGUUGCCCUCCAAAUCGACAGCUGAUAGCCUCUACAUACUCCUCCCAAGUGGCUCUUUGGUUUUCUGCACUUCUCAAGAAGUUCUGGUGCCAGUACAGUGCAACGCCCUCUAAGUAAUAGGAAGCGAUUCUCAACUUGUCAGUGUUGGCAAUUUCUUCGAUCUCGAAAUACUGAGCACAUUUGUAUAGCCAGCGAUGUACAUCUUCACCAUUGAAGGUGGGAAAGAAAUGUUUUGGUUUGUGUAUCUUGUAUGAAGGUAUUCUCUCUUCUUGAGAGCUCCUGUGCCUGGAUUCAUAUCCUUGCAUGCCCGAUACCUGCUUGUCUCUGCCCUGACUAGAGCUACCCGUGAUGGGAGAGAGUUUAUGUAGAGCCAGUUCUAGCUGUUGUGCCAUAGUGCCCAUAAUGCUCUGUAUGUCUGUGAUCUGAGCACCUUGGUUAGCAAUGGUCUGGUAUAGUUUGACAUUUUAUCCCUUAAGUAAGUCAACCAUCAGCUCAUACUUAAGGUUGUGAUCCUGCGAUACUGCUGCAAUGGAGUCUUCAAUACGUUUGAGGUCAGCUGCUCUGGUGUCUGGUGGCAUGGUGGUAGUCCGUGGAUUGCAGGCUCUGAUAGCAGACUGUUAUGGGAAAGAUAGUAAGAGAACCAAACUGGAUGAUAUCCAGUGGUGGCUAUGGAGGAGGUAGAGAUUAUAGGGCUGUAAUUAAUUGAGAGGUCGUUGAUACCACACCAACAACACACUGAUAGUAUUUACCUGAAAUAAAGGAAUUCAUGCUUUCAUUAUAAUUCGUGUUAUCCUUCUGUUAACAUGCACGCAACUUUAUAUAGAAUAACUACCUUCUAAAUGGUUCUGAGAACCUUCAGCAUGCAGGUUGUGUGCUUAACUGCCAUGCAGUAUUUUAUGGAAUGAAACGGUGAGUAUGGGUUACUAAAUGAAACGGUGCAGAUAGGUUAUAUAACAACUACUAUAUUUUUUAAUUCGUGAUAGGAGUUUGUUCUUCCUCUUAUUCCAAUUCGUCUUCAGCUGGUAACACAGACUUGGAUCGAGGUCCAGCUGCCAUCUGCACCGAUGAUGCCCAACAACCAGAUCUGCUAUAGGGGAUGAACUCUCGGGAACAAACCGCGACAGACCCGAAGGAACCAGAUCUGAGAAGGAAAAAAUAAAAAGAAAACGGAUUGUUUGUGGCGUUUUCUUGGCUUUGCAGGUGACGUUGUUUCCCACCGCCGGCAAGGAAAGGAAGAGGGGAGGAGGCUGUUACAGACACCCUGUUUCCCAGUUUGUUUUCGCGGCGGCGCGUGAACCCACGCGCCGCCAAGUGGUGGUGGCGCGUGAAGGAGACGCGCAACCACUGUUCAAAUGCCCAGAAACCUUCCGGCCACUGUUCCUGCAGUUGCAUAAGGCCUUCCUUGCAAUUCUUGUAGAUUUUUAGGGUUUAUUUUGUAAUUUUGUAAUUUUUUAUUUUUUUUGAAUUUUUGUUAUUUUUUUAACAUGUAAAAGAUGGUGUAUGAGAAAAUCAUAAUAAAAAGAGAUGUGUUUGUGUGUUUGUAUUUUUAUUUAUGUUAUUGAAUUAUCAAAAUAAAAAAGACAAAAAGAAUUAAGUGUUUAAUUUGAAUAUGAUUAAAUAUCCCAGGGAUAAAUAAAAUCAUGUUGUACUUUCCAUGAAAAUGUAAGAACAUGUUUUUACAUAUAUUCUGGAAUUUAAUAAAUGAUUUAUUAAAAUCUUAGAAUUUGAUUAAUAUUUUAAAUUUUUAAAUCACAUCAAACCGCAAAGCAGCUUACCUCAGGUAGGGUGCGCUAGGGUGCUAAUACCUUUCCUAGCACAACUAGUCCCUUACCCUCAAAUCUAUGACAAAGACCAGUAUAUCCAGGUUUCCUAGUAGCCUCAACCAAAUACUAGGUGGCGAUUCUCAAGAUCCCAAAUCAAGCAAACAUAACGAAAAAACGCCAGCCGACGCCGCGCGAGUGACGUGCGACAGAAUGGCGACUCCACUAGGGACAAGUAUUGUUUUCAACAUUAUUGGACUAAGCUUUGUGUUUUUAUGUGUUAAAUUUUUUUUUUGUGUUUUGUUUUGUUUUAUUCAUGCAUUGUAUAAAAUUCUCUCAUGCAUCACAUGUUUUAAUUUUUGAAAGCACACACAAGCUUCAGGUUACGUGGGGGACUAGUAGCUUACCUUACGACUUUUAGUCAAGGUUUAAGUUUAUGUAAACCCCAACUCUUCGUUGAGUGCUUAGAUUGUUAGUGAUUGAUAUACGUGCCAUCUCACUAUCUGUUGAGCCCUCAUAUUGCCUUCACGAGGGUGAUCACUGGGACAACGAGAGACCCUUCUUAGAGACCAAGUAGUAAACCUACCCUUUGUCUCACGUAAAAAGAUUAGAACCUGCCUUUAGGAUGUAUGCUCCGUACACAUUGUUUUGCAUCUGAGCAAGCCCUUCUUGAAGCAUCUUGAAUUCAGGACUUACGGGGAUAUUGUUGUAACCCAUUUUUGGGUCCCCACAAAUAAAAAAAUAAAUAAUAAUAAUUAAAAAAAAAGGAAACAAUGUGAGAGACACUGUUCCUCUCUCUCUCUCCCCGCAUGCUGCUGCAAAAACCCAGAACCCCAUGACUAGAAAACAGCGCAGGCGUGCCCUGCACAGCCACGCCCAUUGGAGACCUCACCCGGUGUCCCCUGCCCCCCAUGCGCGACAGCAGGCCGCUCCCCUGCUCCCCACGCGCAACAGCAGAGAUUGGCCCUAUAAAUACUGCUCUCAACACUAGUAGAAAGGGGGGGAGUUUGAACGAAAGAGAAGGAGGGAGGAAACAAAAGAAAGGGGCAGUUUUUUUUUUUUUGAAGUAGUGACAGGGGAAAGAAAGAAAGAAGAGAGAACAAGGGCGGGAAUUUCUGAACAAGAGGAGAACAUAGAGAAUAGGAAGAGAGGAAAGGAAAUAGAGAAAGGAGGGAAGAUGACGGGGAAGCUCUGAAACAGAGGGAGGAAAAUACAAACACACCCAUACUGCCAACACCAUUGUCAUUAUUCCCCAGCUCACCAUCUUCUCCCCACACGUUGCAGCACCAUUGAAGAAAAGGCAGCAACCUGCACCUCUGCAAGGAGAAGAAGAAGAACCGUGCCUCACCCCCUGGAACCACUGCCAUUCCGCCACCAUCAGCACUGCCAACAACAGCAGAACCACCACUUAGAAGAAGAACCAGAGAAGAAGGUGACAGAAACCAGAGGAAGAAGCUAAAGAGAAUAACGAACAGCUGACAGAAGGAAACACCAGAGACAGGAGAAAAAGCCAAAAACUGAAGAGAGGGAGCCGCUGCAGAGAGGAAAGAACAGUUGUUGUCACCAGGCUUCCUCUCCACCGCCACCAGCACGGGCAGCGCUGCCAAACAACAGCAGAACCACCGUGAAAGGGAAGAGCACCGUGAGAAACAGAGGAGAACAGAGUAGAAGAAGAAAAGAGAAGCAGAGGAGAACAGAGUAGAAAAAAAACACAAAGAAAAAAAGGAAGAAAGGCCGACCACCAUCCCAGCCAUCCUCCGAUCAGCAACCGCCAGCAGCACCGCCUUCAGAGCCACCACAGGUCAGCCCUCUGCACCUUAUCUCUUUUUACUGUUCAUCUUCUUGCAUGCAGAACGUGCACUGUGCACGUUCUGCAAGCAAGAAAAUAAUUACCUGGUUACUGUGCAGGUGCACAGUAACCGGUCCAUGUUUGUUUCGGGCUGGAACAUCAGCCCAGCCCAUGCAGCUGGGCUGAGUCCAGCCCUGUAGAAAGUAGGCCCGUUUUAUUUCGGGCCGAUUUCGGCCCAGUCUCCUUUUGGGCCGAGUCCGGUCUAGUAAAAAAAAUUUAAAUUCCAGAAAAACCUUUCAGAAAAUCUGUGAUUUUCCGCAAUUUCGGUACUACAUUUUGAUCAAUAUCGGUUUGUAUUUUUAUACUGUAAAGAUACAAAUCCGGCAUUAAAAUACCCGGUUUUCAUCAAGUCAUCAAAAAAUAAAAAAUAAAAAUAAAAAUGUUUUGUUUUCAUGCAUACGGCCUAGUCUCUCCAAUAUAUAUAUAUAAAUAUUAUAACAUCAUAUUUUCACACAACAAAGGAAAUUUCAAAACAAUAUAUGUACUAGCAUGCAUUUUGGCUUUAAUAACCAGUUUAUUCAAGCCAUGAGAACUAGGCAAAUAUUUCAAAAAUUCCAAAAAAAUUAUUUUGUUUUCUUUUAAUAUCUGGGGUUACGAUCUUAUAUGUAAGGCGUAUUCUGGAUAUUAAAUUCUUUUGUUAAUGUCAGAAUUACCCAAUAAGAUAAGGAUCUUCUUACCGAGGAGGACUUUUCUGGAACCAUACCAACAACUAGGAAACACAACGAGACCUCGGAUUUGAGACCUCGGAUUUUAUCAGACAAAUAAACAAUGCAGCUUACCUUAGGUAGGGCAUAUUUGGGGUGCUAAUACCUUCCCUUUACGCAACCAGUCCCCGUGCACGAUCUCUGAGACCAGUUAGGGUUCCUAGUGACCAAAAUACUAGGUGGCGACUCCCAUUCCAUUUUCCACCAACAAAAGACAAUAUUUUCUUGUCUCUCCAUAUUUGCCAGAAAGAUAAAGAUAGAUAUAUACAUUUUAUAUUUGAAGUGGAAUAUUCACCGCGACGCCGCACACGUGCGACAGAAUGGCGACUCUACUGGGGACCUUGUGGACUUAACUUUGUUUUUGUCUGAUUUGUUUGUGUUUUCAUGUGUUUAUUGUUAAUAUGCCUUUCAUGUUGUUAUCUACUUAUAUGCUUUAAAUAUUUUACACCUACUGUUCAUGCAUUGUAUAGAACUGUCUCAAGCAUCACAUACUUUGAUUUUUGAGAAGCACACACAAGCCUUAAGUUAGGUGGGGUAUUAGCGAUUUGCCCUAUGACUAUUGGUCAGGGUUCAGAUGCGUGAAACACCCAACUCAUAUCUGAGUGCUUGCUUGGUAAUGGUGGGCAUACGUGCCUUAACUGUUCCUUGCAACGCCCCCAUACUGUCUUUAUGAAGAACGUCACUGGGCAGAUAUGAGACCCCUUCAAGACCAGAUAGAAAACCUACCCGUUCUCACUUAAUAAAUAGAGCUUGUCCUUAGGAUGUGUAUCCUACUUUUAUUUGCAUCAAGAUUAAUAAUGUUAAACUCAUCAAUACAGGUUUUUGAGCUGAAAUCAUCUUUCUUUGUAAAUGUGUUUUAGUAAGCUGCUAUGAUAAGUACUUGGCAAACCCUUCUUUACAGUAAUCAGAUCGACUCAGAAAUCUUGCUAAAGGAUUACAAAAGUCAUGAAUUAGCUCUAAAAAUAUACACAUCACAUAUGCAUCAUGUUUUCAUCACGCAUUUUGUUUUUAAUUUAUCAUAUGCAUUCCAGAUCGUGAAACAUAGGUCCCACAUCUAAAGUCCACCACACCCGAUCCAGAUCAAGGAUGGAGAACGAAGAAAGAGCUAACUUAGAGUCACACUAUCAGACCGAGUUAGAAUCCGUAAAAAAUGAAGUUGCUCGGCUGACCGACCUACUCGAGCAACUUCUAAGAGCUAAGAAUGGGGAAGGAACAUCAGCACAACUACCUGAAGGAGCGCCAGCAGCUCACAUCCCUCAAGCAUCUCAAAACCAGGGGGCAAACUCGGCCAAUGAACAACAUUUGGUGCCUAUCACCCCUAUCCAACCAACACAUGCUCCAAUCAAUGUGGAAUUAACAGCGGAGGGAACCCCGGAUAAUAGAUCUCCCAGUUUGAUGGACCAAGACAAACUGUUUGCUUUAGAAGAAAGAUUAAGGGUUAUUGAGGGUAAUGACUGGUUUGACCCUAUGCGAGUAGCCGAAGUAUGUCUGGUACCAAACAUUGUGGUGCCAAAGGAUUUUAGGAUACCGGAUUUCAUUAAGUACACCGGUUUGGAAUGCCCAAACACUCACCUUCGAUCCUAUUGUAACGAAAUGGCGGAAGUAAUCCGCGAUGAUAAAUUGCUAAUCUAUUUCUUUCAAGAUAGCCUUGCGGGAUCCGCUUUAAGCUGGUACAUGAGGUUAGACAGUGUCAGGAUCAGGAGCUGGAGAGAUUUGGUGGAGGCUUUCCUUAAGCAGUACAAGUUUAACCUGGAAAUCACUCCAGAUCGAACAAGUCUAAUGUCAAUGGAGAAAAGGAGCCAAGAGUCAGUAAGGGCCUAUGCUCAAAGAUGGAGGGAUGAGGCAACACAUGUCCAGCCCCCUUUAAUAGAAACAGAGGUGGUGACCUUAUUUGCCAACACCUUUAAGGCACCUUAUUAUGAGCACCUAAUGGGUAGCUCAUCUCAGCAUUUCUACGAUGCGGUUCGCAUAACUGGAAGGAUAUAGAGCAAGGGAUUAAAGCUGGACGCAUAUCUGAGCCGUUAGAGAAGAAGGGUUUUAUUGGAAGGAAGAGGGAAGGCGACAUUAACAAUUUGGAAGGUGGAUAUAAGGGCAAAAGAGUGGAUUCCCAUAACCCACAAACACCUACCUCUCAAUUUUCCUACAUGAACUUUAGCCAAACUUUUUCCCCUGAUCGAACAAAUAACCAGUCAAACAACCAAAACAACCACCAAAGACCAAAUACAAGAUACACUUCAGAACAACUACCGCCAUUACCCAUGCAUUUAAAGGACAUGUAUGCCAAACUGCUUAGCAUUGGACACAUAGCCCCUAUCCCCACACCACCACUGCAACCACCAUUCCCAAUCUGGUACAAGCCCGAGUUGACUUGCGAGUACCAUGCUGGUAAUCCCGGGCAUGGGAUUGAAACCUGCUAUGCUUUAAAGAGGAAGUUGUUGGAGCUUAUUAAGAUAGGAUGGGUAUCAUUCGAAGACAAACCCAAUGUUAAUUCAAAUCCAUUGACUAGUCAUACCGCAAGUAAUAGUGGAUAAAGGAUUGGAAAACCUCGGUCAAGAAUUGUCAAUGAUGAAGAAGGUGAGAUCGAAGGAGAUGACAAGAAAACACAGAUGGGGAAGGAAGAUGAAACACUGCCACAACUGACUGUCCAGACACUAGAAAAAGUCUUCGCCAAGACCUUUGGGCGCAAGUUGGCUCAGGGUGAGAAGUUUCAGAACGGGGUGACCCAAAAAGCUCUAGUAGUUUUUCAAAAUGUAAACCAACUUUGUUUGCCUUAGCAUGCUUUUGUCAUUGCUUUUGGGUUUGCUUUUAUUUUCUCUAGUUGACAAUCAAGGCUCAUGAUGUCAGCUAGAUUUUGUGUUUGUCUUUGAGCCCAUCUUUUCUUUAAAUAAAUGACGAGAUCAUGCACUUUUUAAACAAAGUUGAGUGAUUACAAGGAAUGUAUCAUAAAACGGUCAAAGAUGAAAUUUAAGAAAACAAACCAAAGUUAACCCUGAAGUACAACCCUACCUUUGGAUAGCAUAAUGAAUUGAUAAAUCACCUGUAAAUUUCUUUCAAGAUAAAAACAGAGUUUAUCAAUCCUAACAAUGUACAUUUUGAAAUGAGAAAAAUUCAUUAUCCCUUCACUCUCUAAAGAGUUUAUUGUUGGUGGUCCUGUUUGAGCCGGAAUGAAUUGCUUCUUUAUAAAAACCCGGACUAGGAUCACACCCCACACUAGGGGGCAAUAAAAGAUAUUUCAUGAAAAGUUUUACAUGAUUUUAAAACGGGAUGAGAGCCCGUAGAUUUGAAAAAGAUAAGUUAAAGCAUUUGACAAAAGCAUGACAAAGAAGGCAAUGACAAGUCAUACAUUUUGAAAAAGCUACUUGUAAAAAGUCGAAGACUUCUCAAAGAUAUGAUAGGUAAAAAGAGGCAGCACGAGAAAUGAAUCCAGCAUACGACUUCAAAAGCAAGCUCAUGUCAAGAGAGAGUUUCAUGAAAUAGAAGAAGAUGAUGGGACCUAUGUUUCAAAACCAGGUAAGAAUGCAUGCAUGUCAUCUAAUCAUAAAUCAUUGCAUACAUGUUUUUGAAUCAUUACAGGAGAAAUUCUUAAUGUAAUCCAACAAGAUUGUGGACGAAGAAAGAAUCAUUAAGUUGAUGAUAGCAAAGAAUCACGGUUUUGAUUCUGGAACAACAAUAAAGUGAGAAGAACCUAUUAGGAAAUUUUUAAAACGAAAGGUUCAAACCCUGCCAUCAGGAAGAACGACAUCGAUAUCAGCUUUGGUUAAAGGGAAUCGCCAGAUGGGAUUCCAGGUUGAUCGAGCUACAUGAAUAGAUUUUUUGGUUUUGGUUAAAGGAGGUCACCAGAAAAGAUCUCAGGUUAACCCAACCGCAACACCGAUUUCAGCUUUGAUUAAAGGAGGUCACCAGAAGGGAUCUCAUGUUUCAGCUUUGGUCAAAACUUGCAAAAUUACUGUACGUAUGCAUGUCAUUACGAGAUUCUCGUUCAUUUACUGUUUAUUGAUGUACAUUACAUACAAGGUUUAUCAAAUGGGAAGGAGUGCGCCUAAGUCAUUGUCUUCACUAAGCCGGGGGCCUGAAAGAAAAUGUAAGUGCUACCACGGGUAUUUUGUCAAUGGAUAUGUUUUCCAUACUGAAGAAUAUGGGCAAGGAAGAAAGACAUACAACAACGGUGUUUGUGUUAAGGGAUCCACUAGUAGUGAGUUAGAAGUUGACUACUAUGGUAGAUUAGAAGAGGUCGUCGAACUGCAAUAUCAUAACGAGCAGAAUAGAGUGUUUUUAUUCAAAUGUUAUUGGUAUGACACGACUAACAGAGGAAUCAGAGUUGAUCCGCACUAUGGUCUGGUCGAAAUCAACUCAAAAGCUAGACUCUGCAACAUAAACGAUGUCUUUGUUUUCGCAAAGCAAUGUCAACAAGUUUAUUACACAUACACCCCUUCAUUUAGAAAGGAUCGAUCAAGAGUGGAUUGGUUGUCCGUUUUAAAAACAAAACCCCGGGGUCGUGUCGAGGUUGUUCAGGAUGAGAACGAAGACACAAGUGUGCGAGAUGAAGUCUUUCCUGUUAGUGAGUUGGUUGAACCAUAUUGAGUUGCUCUUUCGAUUGAAUUGGAAGAAAAUUCAAAUUUUCGUGUUUUCGAUGAUAGUCUUGUUCAUGUUGACGCAGAGGAGUUGAAUGUUGUUUUGAGCUCUAGCAUACAAGCAAAUGUCGAUGAAGAAGAUGAUAUCCAUAUUGAAGAUUGCGAUGAAGGUGAUGACAAUUCAAAUGAUGACGAAGAAGAAGAAAAUUCUGACUAACAAUCAAAAUGAAGCCUUGUAUAAAACUAUUUUUUUCAUGUAAUUUAGAUCAUGGAUGAUAUAUUUUGUAACACGAAAUAUUUAUUACUUGAAAUGCCACAAUCACAAAAUAAUUACGAAAUAAUUACUUGAAAUAAUUAUAGAUCAUGGAUGAUAUAUUUUGUAACAGGAAAUAAUUACUUGAAAUGCCACAAUCACGAAAUAAUUACUUGACAUAAUUAUAGAUCAUGGAUGAUAUAUUUUGUAAAACAAAAUAAUUACUUGAAAUGCCACAAUCACCGACGUCCAUACCGACGGAUUAAGUUCGUCGGCAUUUCACAGAGAGUUCGAAAACAAUUACUUGAAAUGCCACAAUCACCGACGUCUAUACCGACGGAUUAAGUCCGUCAGUAUUUCACAGAGAGUUCGAAAACAAUUACUUAAAAUGCCACCAUCACCGACGUCCAUACCGACGGAUUAAGUUCGUCGGCAUUUCACCGAGAGUUCGAAAAUAAUUACUUGAAAUGCCACAAUCACCGACGUCCAUACCGACGGAGUAAGUCCGUCGGUAAGUUAUUAGGGGGUCAAUUUUACCGACAAAAUUACCGACGGACUGCGCGAAUUCCAAAGGGUUGUGCAUUAAAUGCAUCUCUGACCGCGUCAUCUUGACGACGGAAUUACCAACGGACCACGAAAAAUAUGGAGGGUCAUUAAAAAUUUUGGUGCGAAAUUCAAAAAUUACUGACGGAUUUUUGACACUUCACCGACGGGAUAAAUUAAAAUAAUAAUUAAUUUUAUAUCUGUCGGUGAAUCUGUCGGUAAAACUGCCAUAUAAGUUCCAACGACCGCCCCUUCAGUUCAUUUUUUUCUUCUCCUCAGUUUUUCACCUUAAAUUUCGAUUCUUUUCCUCUCCAUUCUUCAAAGCUUUCACCUACAAUCUCUAGCAAGUUUUCUUGUGAAUCUUCAUCAGUUUAAAAGGUAUGUGUUUCUUCUAUUUUAUUUUACUUUAAGGGUUUUUUUUUGCUUUUUUUUUGUUAUGGUUUUUGUUAUGGUGUAUUUUUUGUAAUGUAGAUAAAAUAUUGAAUUCAACACAUUAUUAAAGCAAGCAUAUUUCAUUCCUAAAGUCUAUAGUUUUUUUUUGAAUUUAUUGAAUAUGUUUUAUUGUUGUAUUGACAUAAUUAUUAUUAGUUAAUUUGUUGAAUAUUUAUUGUUAAUGUUGAAUUUACCUUAGAAUUAGUAAUUGAAUAUGUUGGAAUAAUUGUUAAUUUUACUCUAUUAUUGCAUGAUUUGUGUUUAUUUUUUUUCAUUUAUUUUGAUUGUUAGUCUAGAGUUUUUUUUGAAUUUAUUGUUUUGUUGUAUUGGCAUAAUUAUUGAAUAAUUUUUUAAAUUGUAAUUGUUAAUGUUCAAUUUACCUUAGUAUUAGUAAUUGAAUAUUUUGGAAUAAUUGUUAAUUUUACUCUAUUAUUGCAUGAUUUAUGUUUAAUUUUUUCCAUUAAUUUUAAUUGUUAGUCUAGAGUUUUUUUUUAUUUAUUGAAUAUAUUUUAUUGUUGUAUUGGCAUAAUUAUUGAAUAAUUUGUUGAAUUGUAAUUCUUACUGUUGGAUUUACCUUAGGAUUAGUAAUUGAAUAUGUUGGAAUAAUUAGUAUAGAUUGGGUCAAUUGGUUGUGGCUAUUGUUAAUAUGUGCAGGUUUGUGGAUAUGGGUAGUAUCCAGUAUAGGGGAGGUGCUGUCGAAAAUUUUUUUAACAUUUGAAUUUAAUUAUAUAAUUAUUCGUAUAAAAUUGUGUAGAUGCGUAGAAUAAAAACCAGAGCUAGUCGCUCAUGUAUGGUCACAGCUAGUUCGUCUAGCAGCGAGGAUGAUAUUUCCUUAGGUGCCUCUCAAGAAGAGGCACCUACACCACCUGCGUCGUCAACCGAUGCCGCCUCUUCCAGCGCUCCUUCACAGCGCAGAGGCGGCGUGCCUUCACAGCGCAGAGGCGGCGUGCCUUCGCAGCGGAAUCAAUAAUAAAUCUUUUUUCAUUAUAGGCUACGUCUCUUGGACGUGAGCCGAGCCCGAUGGAGCUGUUUGUGGAGAUGCACGUGCGGAGUCAAGACCGCCAAAAGAGGGCGCAACAAUUCAUUGAUAACCGUGCUCAACAUUUCGUGGUAUGUCUGUUCAACCAUUUUAUUUUGUAAGUUAUUAUGUUUAUUGAAUUGAAUAUGAUGAUUACUUUUUUUAUUUUCAGGAGACCUAUAAUAAUUGGUUGAGGGAGAGAUACGGGGAUGAUAUUUUGACCCAUCUGGAAUUCGAUCCGGAUUUGUGGAUGGAGGUUGGAUUGUCAGGUGGACCCGAUAAAAAUCGAGUUUACAGGCUCUCCAACACUAUGGCCGACAACUUGCAAACGACCCGUAUUUCAAUGCAAUUAGCAAUUCUCAUAAAAGAUGUUUUUUAGAAGUUUUUAUGAUGAUACCCCUUUGGGCUUUGGUUCACUAUGGACCCCUAUGUGCACUUCGUGCACUUCUUGCCCCCAGUGUGGUGUACAAAAAUAUGUCAAGUUUAGAUUUGAUUUAGUUCUCUCCAAUUGAUGGAGUCAUCUCCUUAGUCAUGCGUUAAAAAAAAAACAGUUCUUUUAAGUAAAAGAUUUCAAAUGCUAUGAGAUCAUACGUUUUAUGAAAAAAAGGGUUCUUUACAAAGAGAAUUCAUGGCCGGACUUUCUUUAAUUGACGGGGAAGCAUAGUAUUUCUUUAUAGAGUCAGCAUUUAUAAGUUUAACUAGAUCUUCUCUAUCCAUUCUAGAUAACAAUAAAGCUCCUCCUGAGAGCUUUCUUUACCACCAAAAAGCCCUCAUUGUUUGACGCCUAUUUACUCUGAUCUUCUCCUGGUAAAAGGCAAUAUUUUCUUCAGUAUAAGAUCUCCUUCGUGGAAUCCUCGAGGUCGAACCUUCUUUGAUGACAGAUUGCGGCUAUCCUCUUUCCACUGAUCAGAUUCAACUAUUCAUCUCUAACUUUUACUCACUCUACCUCUUCUAGCUCGGAGUCUAUCAAUACUCUUAAUGAGGGGAUUUCAACUUCUAAAGGCAUCACCGCCUCCAUUCCAUACACCAAUAUAUACGGGGUGGCUCCUAUUGAGGUUCGGAUUGCGGUGUGGUACGCGUGAAGGGCGAAUGACAACAUCCCAUGCCAAUCCUUGUAGGUGACUAUCAUCUUCUAAACAAUCUUCUUGACAUUUUCGUUAACAGCUUCUACAACAUCAUUUAUCUUUGGCCUAUAUAGCAAGGAAUUGGAAUGCUUGAUUUUCCAUUUAGCGCAAAGUUCUAUUAUCAUCUUGUUAUUGAAGUUCUAGGCAUUAUUAAUCUUUUCUAGUGGACCAUAUCGACAGAUCAAAUCUCUUUCCAUAAAUUUCUUCACCACUUUUUACCUCCAUGUCAUCCAAACAUCUCAACAAAGUUCCGUCAUGUGUGUUGUUACUCAAUUUUGGACCCCACGUGCUGGAGACGGUGUAUACCUCUUUUGAACAAUGUAGGAGUUUAGCUCAUAUUCGCCAGAAGAUUGACAAAAGCACAGAAAGAAAUAUUUUGUUUUUUUAACCUUGUUUGAGCUGUUUUUUGCUUUUUUUUUAUCCUUCCCCUUUACCACCAAAAUCAUCAGGUUUUUUUUUAGGUUGAUCAGGAGUCUUCAUAAUGCUAAAUUCAUUAUUUUUUAUCUGGUCUUUAAGGUUGAAUAAAUCCCUCAGAAUUUGCACUAAAAAAUAGUUCUGCUGCUGUCGCAAUUUUUUGUUUCAACUUAGGCUCUGAUUCUGACUCAGUUUCGUACGAUAUCUGACCAUCCUAGGUAUAUUCUGUCACUCAUUACCUGUUGAAAAAUUGACGUAUACCUUUAUUAGGUCCUAGGGAUCAUUGUUCUUAGAGCAGAUUCUCAGUCAGAUUUGGAUGCUCAGUAUUGUCAGAUCAAGAACCUUUUUAACCAACUAGAUUACUACCAGUUUCUGUUAUGUAAAACGAUUUUAUCUCACUUCGACUUCUUCAUCAAAGUUUUAGUCCUAGACGCGUAGAUGAAUUUGGGCUUUUGAAUCACUUGAUUUUGAUAUCAGAAGCUCAAGAUAUUCCCAUUUGAAUAUCUAACGUGAGGGCAGAAAAUUCUGCCGUGGGAAGGAUAUAGCCCAAGUUCGCGGGACUGAUUUGAAGGAUUUCUUUUGGACCAAGGACUGAAUCGAAAAGUGUUAAAAUGAGGGAUUUGAAUUGAAGAAUGAUAUUGAAAAGCUGGAGAGGGGGGCUGGAUCAUCAUAAAUGACUGGAUUUUUUCCACGCCGAAUAAGGAAAAUGAGACUGUGCAGCUGCACCCUCCAUCUGAUUUCUUUCCUUUUUUCGCUGCAAAUUCCUGCUGUUUUUCCUUUAUCAUCAUGCCUGAUUUUUGGAGCUGCAACCACGUUUUUUCUUGCCUCAUUUCAAAGGGAGCAGCUGGCCCUAUGGAAGGAAAGAAAAGAACCACACCCUCCUCUAAAACUGGAAAGAAAUCAGACGUAAAGCACCAACACAAAAUCAGAAUAUUGCAGUUUCCUUUUGCAUUUUUUUACUGCAAAUCAGUAGGGAUUUGCGUCCUAGGAUUAAUGCAUUGAAUCCUUCCUAAAUAGAGACAUAUUUAGACUAUAUAUAAGCCCUUCUAAUGACCUAACGGGGGAGGAGAAAGAGAGCAGAAAAAUAGGAAAAAGAGAGCAGAAAAAUAAGAAAAGAGAGGAGAGAAUAGAGAACGGGAGAGAGACAGCAAAAGAAAAACAAGAAAGACGCCUUUGCUCCAUUUGUUUUCUGCAAAUAAAAACUGCAGAAACAGGAAAAGAAAGUUAGGAAUCAGUAGAGAAAGUGACGGAGGCGCAGAGUAAAGAAGGAGGCAAUAGGCAGACCCAAACACAGAACAUAAGAAGAAGGACAGACGCAGACCCAACAACCAUCACUCUUCCAACGCCACUGCAGUUUCUUCGUCUCCGGGUUGGUUUUCUAUUCACCUGUUGCAUGCUUUCUUUUGCUUUGUAUUUGCACUUUAGUGUGGUCUUUUUCUUUGUAAUGUAUGUGUCUGUACUGUUCAAGUGAAUUAAUUCACUUGAACAGUAGCUCUCCAUUCACAAAAGAGAGUUGCACCCCUUUUGUGUCCAGCCGGGUCACUUGCUUGGGCAAGUGACCCGGCCAGAACCCCCCCCUUUUUUUUUUCUUCAAAAAAAUAAAAGAAAGAGAAAGUGAUUUAUGAUUUUUUUGGUAUAUUUAUUUUAAGGUCUGAAUUUUUUUUGUUGUAAAAAAUAUUAGUCUUGUGUUUAGAAUACCCGUUUUUUUGUUUUUUUACGCAAUAUGACAAAUAUACAUAUAUAUCAAAUUUGUUUUCUUGUGUGUUGCAUACGGCCAAUACCCUAACAUAUUUUGAAUGUUUUUUUAUAUACAAAAAAUAUUGGAACUUUUAAAAUGUGUUUUCGCAUGGAUUUCUUAAACACAACAAAAAAAUUGUUUUCUUGCAUUUCUGGAUUUUACAACAUGUUUGUAAAACUCAAAAGGGUAUUGGCCACUAUUCCAAAAAAUAUAAAAAUCUUAUUUUGGGGAGAAUUCAUCUAUUAUUCACCGCUAAUGUUUGGAUAAAGAAAUCCUUAAAGGACGAAUAUCCAAAAUAUUAUUGGGAAUAAUUUGUUAUUAUUCACUGUUAAUAUUUGGAUAAAGAAACCUGGAGUGGUAAAUAUCCAAAAUAAUUUUCUAGGAAUAAUAAAUCCGCACACAUCCUUGAAAGAAGCCUUGAUUAUAAUCGAGGACAUUUCAAUUUUUUACUCCACGGUUUACGAGCCGUGAGAGUAUAAAACACUAAGGUAAAAAUAGGCUUUUAAAGUGCCCUAGAUUUUUAAAUUUUUGUCCCUCCUCCUUGCGAUUUACAAGUCGCAAACUCUUGAAAUACCAAGGGAAAAAUGAGCUUUUAAAGCACAUGGAAUCUCCUUGGAUUUCUAUCUUAAUAAAUUUAGUUAGAAUCAAACUUAGAAAAACUGAUGGAAUUAGAAAACACCAACACCAUAGCAAUUUUAAGACAAACCAAACACCAAGCAGCUUACCUUAGGUAGGGCGUACUAGGGGUGCUAAUACCUUCCCUUUGUCGCACGUCUAAAAAAUCCGCGCGGCGUCGGCUGGCGAUUUUUUUGUUAAGUUGAUUUAAUUUGUUCGUUGGAGUCGCCACCUAGUAUUUAACUGAAGGCUACUAGGAAACCCGGGUACUGGUCUUAUCAGAGAUUUGCGGGUAAGGGACUGGUUGUGGUUAGGGAAGGUAUUAGCACCCCUAACGCACCCUACCUGAGGUAAGCUGCUUCGUGGACUUGAUGUGUUAAAGAAGUUUUAAAAAUUCUGUUCUUUCAUCGAAUUUUAGAAAUACGACUUACAUGUAAGUUCAUAAUUCUUUAUCCGUGAAGAAAUCAAAAUAUUAAAUUCUUCUUUAUUCUUGCAAUUUUAUCAUAGAAAAAAAAACAUUCAUUAAUAAAAUUCAAAUCACACAUUCACUUUCACUAUACUUUUUCUUUUUUGUUUUCUUUUCCAUCUUUUUUGUACAUUCACAUUACAAAUUAAAAAAAUUCAACACUAAACAAAAAUUACAUUACAUAGUUUAAAAAUUACAAAAUGGUCCCUAAAACUCCAGAAAUUGCAGGGAAGGACUUCUGCAAGCCGGGACAGUGCCGCUGGAACAGUGGCGGCGCGUGGGUUCACGCGCCGCCGCCGGAAACUCCAAAAUACAGGGGGUCAGUCACGGUUUCCCCUCUUCUUCCCCUCACCGGCAGUGAGGAUCAAUGUUACCUGCAAAUAAAACAAAAAAAAACACACAAGGCAGUAGGUUUUAAUUUCUUUCCCCUUGUUUCGGAUCUGUCUCUCUUCUUCUCCGUUUGGGCAGAUCUGUUAGUUCCUUUUUCUUUCCUCCUAAUUUCCUCUGUUUCAGGUGGCUGCCGGCUUCUUCUCCUGGUGAUGGCAGCAGCGGGAGGCCGCUGGAAGGAAGCAGCUGGGAUGGAGAGGGACGGCGCUGCUGCUGGUGUGGAGGCUGUCUGAUGGUUGCUACCGCUGGAGACUGUUCGGCCGGGCUUGGAUUGCUGGCGGUGGCUUCGGCAACACUGGAGCUGACGGGGGCGCUGAGGUGUUUCUGUCGUCUCCGUGGGACUGAGAGAAGACGGCGGGGCUGCCGCUGAGUUCGGCUUGAGGAAGAAAACGGAGAGGAGACCUGGCUCGGUCUGUGAUGGAGGCCGAAACUACCGGCGAUAGGGGAGAGUAAAGGGGCUGGUCUUCGGAUGUGGUGGUCGGCUGCUGUGGGAAGGAGAUGGGUCGAUGGAGGCAGGUUCAGGAGCUGCGAAGAGCAGAGGGAGCAGCUGAGAGGGAGGAUCUGUGGAAGGGGGAGCUGAUUCGUGGCUGUUGUUGGUCUAUGGCCGGGAGAGGGAAGGUCUGAAAAAUGGGGGAAGAUGAGAGGCGGUCUGCUGAGAGGAAAGGAGAAGAGGCAAUGUUGAGGGGGAGAUGGCCGGCUGUCAAGAGGGAGACGAGGACGAUGGAGCUGGAACUGCGGGGGGAAAUGUGGGGGUCUGAUAAGGCCGGGGGGGCGGCGGCUGCUGCCAAAAAAAUGGAGAAGAAAGUGAUGGUGUUAGGGUUUAUUUUUGGUUUAGGUUUUUUUGUAUUUUUCUGAUGUUGUCAAAAUUGCCCCCCCCUUUUGUUUGAGUUGUGGACCAGUAUUUAUAGGUAAAAUGUUGCAUGGAUCUCAAAAUUGGUCCCUCAACUUUCUUUUUUUGUAAAUUUAAUUUUUCUUAAUUUUUCUGUAUUUUUUUGAAAACGAGUAAUAUCAACGUCGACUCAAUGAAGAAAAUCAAUGAUUUUAAAAAUGAUGCGUUAAAAGUUGAACGCGUUCCAAAUAUCUUUGAAAAUUUAAAUUCUUUUGAGACGAUGCUAAAAAUGAUAAAAAAAACGAUGCAAAUGUAUUAAAAAUGUAUUUUUUGGAUUUUCAAUGUUUUUCGCUAUUUUUGAAUUUUUUCAUGAAAAUUUAUCAAACAUGGGUCAAAAAUUGGGUAGCAACACCCUUUACGCAACUAGUCCCUUGCCUUAGAAUCUCUGAAAGACCAGUUAGGGUUCCUAGUGACCAAAUACUAGGUGGCGACUCCCUUAUUCACAAAUAAACAAAAAGACCCCGAAAUCAAUCGAUGGUCGCCGCGCUCCGCUCGCGAGGGUGCGACAAUGUGAUUUCUUAUUCAAAGUUUCCCCAUCAAGAUAGAAAUCCAUUGCCAACCUCCUCAAAGUCCUUUUGUUGAUUUUGGAUGCCCCCAUGGGAUAUGUCUGGUUUUGGAUGAAAUUCUUGAUAUCAUAGUACUAAGGGUUUCCAGCUAUUUCUCUUUCAACUAAGCAACAAUGAGCUGGGUUAUUUCUGAUAUUAAUGCGUACCGACUGUACCUUAUGCCCAAAGUCUAUUCUAGCCAUAGAAACUAACGUGACCAAAGCGUCAGCAAAAUGGUUUCCUUCCCUUCCUAGAUGGGUGAACUUUAUUUCCUUAAAUUCUCUAGCCAAUUUAAACAGGUAUUCUUGGUAAGGUCUCAACUUCUCGUCCUUGGUUUGACCUUUUCCUUUCACUUGGAAAAUAGUUGAGUCUCCAUACACAUCUAUCUUUCUAAUAUUCAGCUCAAAUGCCACCUCUAAAAUGAGAAUGCAAGCUUCAUACUCCCAAACUGCAACUUAACUAAAACUGAAUACUUCUUUUUAUUAAGAGAGAUUAUCAUUGCACCAGCUCUGUUACCACAUACGUUUACAUCACCAUCAAAGUACAUAGUCCACCAAUCUAAUUUCCUUUCCUCAACUGAAAGCACAUCUUCAUCAGGAAAGUCAAAUUUUAAUGACUCAUAAUCUUCCCUAGCAUGGUCGGCCAGGUGAUCGGUAAUAACAUUCCCUUUCACAACUUUCCUUGUUAUAUAUACUAUGUCAUACUCAGCUAGUAGAACUUGCCAUCUUGCAAUUUGGCUUGACAGGUAGGGCUUUCCACCGUUGUACCUUAAUGGGUAUAAUUUUGAAAUCAACCACGUAGCAUGAUAUAACAUAUAUUGACGCAAUCUCUUUGCAGCCCAUGCUAGUGCGCAACACAACUUCUCAAUCACUAUAUACCUAGACUAACAUUCCGUGAACUUCUUGCUUAGGUAAUAAAUGACCCUUUCCUUCCUUCCUGUUUCAUUGUGUUGUCCAAGCACACUUCUUUAACAAAUGCAAGAUUGGGUCACAAGUCGUGGUUAAUUUGGAAAUAAACCGAGCAAUGUAAUUCAAUCUUCCUAAAAACCUUCUUACAUCCUUCUCAGUCUUAGGAGUUGGCAUAGAUCGAAUAGCCAUCCACUUUUAUCCCUUUAUCACUCACCACGAAUCCCAACAACUUCCCAAGAUUUCAUCCCGAAUGAACACUUUGCGGGGUUAAGCCUCAGCUUAUAUUUCCUUAGUCUUUCAAGUAAUUUCUUCAAUAUUUGGACACGACUCUCUUCCUCUUUAGAUUUAGCAUCCAUAUCAUCCAUGUAUACCCCAAUCUCUUUGUACAUCAUGUCAUGAAAUAGAGUCACCAUGGCCCUUUGGUAAGUGACCCUAACAUUCUUCAGCCCAAAUGACAUGACCUUGUAGCAAAAGGUUCUCCAUGGUGUUACAAAGGUUGUUUUCUCCUUAUCCUAUCGUGCCAUUUUCAUCUGAUUGUAGCUUGAAAAUCCAUACAUAAAGGAAUAUAUGAAUCGACCAAUACAUCUAUGUGUGGUAGAGAAAAAUUAUCUUUAGAGCUAGCCCGGUUUAAGUCCCUAAAGUCCAAACCCUGAUUUUAUCUUCCUUUUUGGGAACAACAACUAUGUUGGACACCCAUUGUAGAUACUUGACUACUUUUAGAAAAUUAACGUUCCACUGCUUUUCAAUUUCUAUCUUUACCUUGAUCAAGACAUCCGAAUAAGUUCUUCCCAACUUUUGCUUAACCAGUUUGUAUCCUUGUACUAGUGGUACCCUAUACAAACCAGGCAUAUCCUUGUAGGACCAGGUAAAAACAUCUAUAUAAUAUCGAAGUAGUGCAAUCAACUCUUUUCUUUCUUUAUGGGUGAUCUAUGAAAAAUCUUUUUGGCUCAAUUAUUGACCUGCUAAAACAAUUAAAUUCAAAAACUAACUUAGAGAUCGAAAAAUUUAUUUUAUAGGUAACAGUAGUGCCGUAAUAAAGCUCAAUAACUUAUUGAGGUUUUUACAUUAAAUAAACUUGGAAUAGUUGAUCCGGGCAAAACGCCCAGGCCAGUGACUCAUAAAGAUAUGUGGAAAAAGGAAAAAAAUUACACUAUAGAGUUUUUUUUUUUAACAAAGCUCAAUGUAAUUGAAUUUAUUUUUUUUCCAGUUUUGUUUAGAUCUACUCUAUAGAGUAUUUUGCUUUUGAAGUAGUUUCUGUUUUGCAAACUCUUAUACGUCAACCUUACUAGCAUUGACUUUUUCUCUUUUUUUUUAUAUAUAUUUUUUCAUUUUUCUUUUGUCAAAUAAUAGCAAUGACUUCUUUUUUUUUAGGAUAAUCAAGAUAAUAUUGUCAGCAUUCAAGCGCCCCAUUUUCAUCUCUUAUAUUAUUAUAUUGAGAGAAAGAGCAGUUUUCCCCAAGUCUUUAUUUAGAUACUUGCCAUGUCAUUAAUAAUCGUAUGACUAACAUAUUGUCAAGACAUUAAAAACUUGUUUGUAAUAAUUAACAAGAACCGGAAAAAAAAAAUUAACCCUAUCUCUUUCUAAUUAUAAAAUCAUUAUUAGUAUAGUUGAAAUUAGACUCAUUAUACUUUUAGCGAAACUGAUAAUCUGUAUAAAAUUAAAAAAAAAUUAAAAUUUUAAUUUAACUAUACUUUAUUAAAAACCAAAUAUUUUUUUUUAAUUGAACUUAUUAUAGGUUCAAUUCAAAAAAAUUAUGUGGUCGUGUCAGCAAAUUUCCUGUCGGACGGACUAGUCCAGCAUGGGUUUAAAAACACUUUGUACAAGUUUAAAUAAACCGUAUUUGUAUAUAUUUAUUUUAAUUUCUUGUUCACAACUUCCUCUCUAUUCUUUCUCACUUUAAUUAACUUUUGAGUUAAAAUCCAUAAGCAAAUGAUAAAAUUCUUGAGUAUUCUUUUUUAAAAAGUGUUUUUCAUCGAAAAGCAACUUAAAACUGUAACUCAAACAAAAUUCUAUGCAGCUUUCUUAAGUUAUUAUGGUGCUGCUUUGACUCAGGCAAAAAAAUAGUAAAAAUCAACGGUUGUUGUCCAAUGAAUUUGCAGUUAUUUUUGUUCAACAAAAUGGCAUAUAUAUGUUGAUCAAAACCCUAAUUUGUUUUUAUAUAAAAGAUCAAAACCCUAAUUAACUCACGAAACAAGGAUCAAUCAAACUAUUGGAAACCAAAUAUUGAUCUUAUUAUUGAUUAUAAAAGUGAUAGCACACUAAACAAAAUAAUAGUCAUGAGACUCAAAUUUUACAACUGUAAACAAUUUGAGACCACACAAAUCACCAAAUUUUCAUGACAACUCCAACUCAUAUAUCUAAGUAUACAAUCACAACAAGGUCAAAGAGUACGGGCUUGUUGGUAAUAAAUAAAUUUAAAAGGCUUAUUCAAACUUCGCCACCAUCUGCUUUAAAAUAUUUUUUUGGUACCAAACCAAGAAUAGAAUAAUAUCAUAGCCUCUGUCUUAUAGGGAGCUUGGUAUCAUUUCUUGUUGUCCUUGGCUUCUUUCUGGGUCAUGCCUUGCCAAUUCCUCUAAUAGUAUUGCAAAUCUCUCCAUAACUGGUGCACGUAAGGAAACCAAAACCAUAACCCCACGCUCUCCGUUCUUGAAUCGAUACGGCAGGACAAAGGUUCCUGCAAUAGAAAUUUCAUCCGGCAUAGCCUUAGGUGGCCCAGAGUAAAUUGUGUUGCCCCAUCCAUAGUCCACCUGAUCGAACCCAAAACUUGUUAAGUCUGACACGACAUAUGAUUGUAACGCUAUAGGCUGCCCUUUGGUUAUCUCCAUCAGAUCAGCCAAUGAUCUCAUGUACUCCUCAGUUAUUCUAUUCUUGGCAUUUCUUAUCAUUUCCAAUGCAUACCCUAAAGAGUUUAAGCAAAGCUUCCUAGCAUUUGUUACAGCUGCUGGCAAAGCUAGCACGUUACCAUAAUAUCCUUUCGGUAAUGGAGGGUUAAAUUUGGAACGUGCGUUGACAAGCAUUUGCAUGCGCAUCUCCUCAUUAGGGUUAGCUUGAGAUGCUAUGGCAUAGCAUCUCCAUAAGCAUGCACUUAUUACCUCAAAAUCUGAACAUGGGUGUAAAUGAGAAGGAACCCAUCUACGAAUGUUGGAUAAUUCCUUGCGGUUAAGAACAAAACUACGGUGGGCUACAGCGUGAACCUCGCCGCGGAAUUCAGGCACCUUGGCUGUAGGAUCAACAGCAACAGGAGCAUCAUCACCAUAUUCAUUGUGUCUGCAUGUAACUCGUGGCGGAUUCCUAGCACAGAGGAGUUCCCUUUGCCACACAGGUAGAAUUGAAGGGGUUUGAGCACCUCGUGCCAUCUCACCUAUGGUAUUAAAUAACUGAAGCAUGCCGAGUCCAUCACUCAUUAGGUGAUUAAAACGGAGCCCAAGUACAAAACCACCACACUUCAAGCGUGUCACCUGUUAAUAUAAUGUAAAAUUAUUAGUACUUUAUGAGAAUGUAAUUGAUGGAAUAUUACCAUCAUUGUUUUAAUUAUAUUUUUGAAUUUUGUCGAUAAUAAUAAUAGUAAUAAUAAUAAUAAUAAUAAUAAUAAUAAUAAUGAAAGAAUGAAUAAACAUUAGCCAAUAAUGUCCUAUACGUACCUGAAAAAGCAAUAAUGGGGUAUUGAGGAUCUCUUCUGAUCCUGGGACGUUGUAAAGAAGUUCCUGAAAGCAUGGGAAUGGAGAUGGAAUUGGAUCACCAAACUGCUCGACCGUGGCAUCGGCAUCAGCUUCGAUGAACAAGACACCCUCACCAGUACAAUCAACUAUAAGCUUAUUGUCUGGCCCUUGUCUAAUCCUACCAGCAAAAGGGUAAUAAUACACAAGUGCCUGCGCAAUUGCCUCCUUUAUUACCUUCACAGGAUCUUUCCCUUGCAUCGAUGGAUUGUGUGCAUACAAGUUGUAACCUGGUGAUUGAAAUUGGAGGUAUAGUUGGCGAUCAAUAUCAGAAAGCUGUCUGAAUUCAUGAGGUGUGGCCUUAGCUGGUGCGACCAAUUCUGGUUCGCACCUUCGGACUGCGAACGAUAUCGAAGUUGGUGUUGCCAUCGCACAAAAAGUGUGUUUGCUGCAAACUGUGAUAAAUGGUGGCUCUACCUCAGCUCAAGAAUAUUUUUGCUUGAAAUGGAAUGCAUGGGAAGGCAAACUUGCUACAUAUUUAUAGUAAUAAUGACUGUGUGGACAUGCAGUAGGUGUGAAAGAUAGGAGCAGGAACAGUAGUACAUUAUUACGUUUAUAAAACUAUGACUUCAUCGACCAGUGCAGUGCUCGUUACCUACUACUAUUUUACUAUUUUAUUCGAUAAAAAUUAAAUGUAAAAUAAUAUAAUUUUAUAUAAAUUUUAAAUUUAAAACAUUUUUAUUUUUAAGAAAAGUAUUAAAAAAAUAUAUAAAUUAUAUCUCAUAUUUUAAUUUAAUAAUUUAAAUUUUUAAAUUGAGAUAAUUAUUUGAUAUUCACCGAUUUACUUGCUUAUAUUUAUCUUUAUUUGAUCUUGUUCAAAAAUAAUAUAAAUCAUAUAUUGUGACCUCACCUAAUCGUUAAAACUAUUGGGUUGAGAUGAUUCUUUGACAUGGUAUUAGAGCCUUGAUGACCAAGUGGUCACGAGUUCGAAUCUCACCAUCCUCAUUUAUUUGAUAAAAAUUAAGCAUAAGGUAAUGUGGGUCUAUAUAAGUUUCAAGUCCGAAGGGCUUUCACUUAAGGGAGUGUGUUAGAGAAUAACAUAAAUAAUAUCUUGAAAUCUCAUCUAAUAAUUUAAACUAUUGAGUUAAGAUGAUUAUUUGACAGAUUUUAAUUUAAUGAAUAUCUCUGUAACCAUGUUGGACAAAAUAACAUGGAGUUUUCUUCUUCUUUUUUCUUCUUUUGGGUUUCCUGAGGAGGUCUUAGAAGCAAUACAAAAUGGCCCCGUUGUUGCCCUCCCUGCACCAAAAUCUCUGUGAAUCCCUCUCAAGUUCUGCACAUAAGAUUAUAUGAAAUGAAAUCUUAAAAAUCUUAAAUACUAUAAUAUUGUUUCCCUCUCAAGUUCUGCAAUUUCGUUUGGCUCUCUAGCUAGUAGCUACUCAAUUAAUUUGUUUUUAUUAUUAUUUAUUUUUGCUACCAACUUCACCAGCAUUGACUUUUUGAGGAGCAUUAACAUUAAUACACUGACUUCUAGCUAGUGCUAUUCAUGCCCUCCUCUACGUCUCUUAUAAAUUUUAUUCACAUAAUUAAUUCAUUAAAAAAAUUAAAAUCAAAAGGGUAAUUGAGGAUAUGUUAAUUGUGUACAUAAAAAAAAUAGAAGGAACUUGGAGGACAAAGGCUGUGCGAUUGGUUUGGAUAUAGGCUUCCGCUAUCUUCUAGGCAGUGAAGCUGACGGCAAAAAAUCAAUGACUCACAAAAAGUCAUAGGUGACCAUAUCAUAAAUAUAUUGUAAUCAAAGUUGAGGAAACAAAUAUGUUUUGUCUAGAAAAAAAAAAAAACUUUGUUAUUGAUAAAAGAAAAAAACAAUAAAAAAAAUUGUUAACCAAAUUUUACCUGAAUUUUAUCUUGGUUAAUUUUCUAAGCUAUUCAAAUAUGAACGCAAUCUAAAAUAAAUUUCAAGUUCAAAGUUCAAAGAUUUUAAUAGCAAGUAUUUUUUUAUAAAUUUUAAAGUUGGUUUGAUGCUCAAAGAGAUUUUUAUUAUUAUUAUUAUUAUUUUAGUUUCAAAUUUGGAGACCAACUUAUAAAUAAAUUUAUUAAAUCUUUUUUAAUACAUCAAACUCAUAUAUGUCUACAUGAUAUUUUUUCUAUUGAAUUAACUCUUUUAUUUUUUAGAUUAUGUAAUUAAAGAAAUAAACAAAAGAAAAUAAACAUGUGGAAAUUAAUUUAAUUACUUUAAUUAAUUAGGUUUGUUUAGGCUAUUUUUUUAAAUUUUAUUUUAAUCAUUUAAUUUUCAUAUCAAAGGACAUAAUUUCUUUUUUUAAAAAAUAAAAGUUAUUGGAUUAGGCAUCGUCCAGCAUUCAAUUUAGUAUCUAAAAGAAAAAUUCCAUGUAAGCGCAUGAAAUCAUAGUAUUAUGAUGGAAGGACUAUUACAAAACAAAAGAAAGAGUAGAGGGACUCAAUCAAUUAUAAAAAAAAACAUAAGAGGCUCUAAUAAAAAAAAAGGAAUAAAAUCCAUCUUCUUACAAAAUAAAUCAUGAAAGUAAUUUAAUUUGUGAAUAGCAAUGAUUAGAUUUUUUUGUAUGGAUAAAAGUACUCUUAAGAUAUCUUUCACUUAUCAUAAUUAUUUUUUUUCAAAUCAAGUCAUCCAUGUCAAAACCGAUCAUGUUUUAUAGUUUACUUCAUGAAAUUCAAAUUUCCAAUAAUAACAUAACCGAUCAAUAUCAAGCAACAUGAUAGGGAAUAGUAAUUAAGAUCAUAUCGAAGAAUGUACUAAGCAAUCCAUAAAAUAUUGAAGAAUGUACUAAGCAAUCCAUAAAAUUACAAAGUGGUUAGGUGAAAGAUAAAUACAAGUUUUUGUUGCUCGUGCCCGCGCGACGUUCGAUAAUGAUUUUCGUUCGUUUGCUUGUUCUUUGAGAGUUACCACCUAGUAUUUUCGAUAAUGUUUUUUUGUUGUUUUAAAUUGAUCAAAUUGUGUUGGGCAACCUGCCCAAUGAUAAAAGAACGCGAAGAAUUUCGCGAGUGGUCUAAUUGUUCCAAGCGACCUGCCCGAUGAAGAAUAAACGCGAAAAGGGUUUCGCGAGUGGUCUAAUUAUUCCAGGCGACCUGCCCGAUGAUUGAAAAUACGAGGAUUUUUCAGGAUGGUCACAUUGUAAUGGGUUACCUGUCCAGUGGUCACAUUGUAAUGAGUUACCUGCCCAGUAAAAAAAUACAAGGAUUUUUCAGGAUGGUACAUUGUAAUGGGUUACCUGCCCAGAUGGUACAUUGUAAUGGGUUACCUGCCCAGUAGAAAAAUACGAGGAUUUUUCAGGAUGGUACAUUGUAAUGGGUUACCUGCCCAGAUGGUCACAUUGUAAUGGGUUACCUGCCUAGUAGAAAAAUACAAGGAUUUUUCAGGAUGGUACAUUGUAAUGGGUUACUUGCCCAGAUGGUCACAUUGUAAUGGGUUACCUGCCCAGUGGAAAAAUACGAGGAUUUUUCAGGAUGGUAUAUUGUAAUGGGUUACCUCCCCAGAUGGUCACAUUGUAAUGGGUUACCUACCCAGAUGGUCACAUUGUAAUGGGUUACCUGCCCAGUGGAAACAAUACGAGGAUUUUUCAAAAGAUGACAUAAUGGGGCUCGAAGGCGCACUAUUCAAGAGAUGGAAGCGGAAAUGAGGGCUUGGAGGCGCGCUCGAAAGGAAAUGAGGGCUCGAGGGCGCACUCAAAAGGAGGUAGGGUUAGGAAACGCACUACCUUGAAUGGUCGAGGGCUCGAAGGCGCACUCGAAAAUAAAUAAGGUAAGGGCUCGAAGACACAUUCAAAAGGAGGUAGGAUAGAAAAUGCACUACUUUGAUGGUCGAGGGCUCGAAAGCGCACUCGAAAAGAAAUGAGGUGAGGGCUCGAAGGCGCAUUCAAAAGGAGGUAGGAUAGAAAAUGCACUACCUUUGAUGGUCGAGGGCUCGAAGGCGCACUCGAAAGGAGGUAGGGUAGGAAACACACUACCUUUAAUGGUCGAGGGCUCGAAGGCGCAUUCCAAAGGAGGUAGGAUAGAAAAUGCACUACCUUUGAUGGUCGAGGGCUCGAAGGCGCACUCGAAAAGAAAUGAGGUGAGGGCUCGAAGGCGCACUCAAAAGGAGGUAGGAUAGAAAAUGCACUACUUUUGAUGGUCGAGAGUUCGAAGGCGCACUCGAAAAGAAAUAAAGCGAGGGCUCGAAGACGCACUCAAGUGGAGGUAGGAUAGGAAAUGCACUACCUUUGAUGGUCAAGGGCUCAAAGGCAUACUCGAAAAGAAAUGAGGUGAGGGCUCGAAUGCGCACUUGAAAGGAGGUAGGGUAGGGAACGCAGGGCUCGAAGACGCACUCGAAAGGAGGUAGGGUAGGGAACGCACUACCUUUGAUGGUCGAGGGCUCGAAGGCGCACUCGAAAGGAGGUAGGGUAGAAAACACAGUACCUUUAAUGGUCGAGGGCUCGAAGGCGCACUCGAAAAAAAAAUAAAAAUGAGGGGUCGAAGGCGCACUCAGAAGGAGGUGGGUAAGAAACGCACUACCUUGGGAAUGGAAAAUGAAAGGUGGUGGAAAAAUACAAAGAUUUUUCAAGUGGCCUAAUUCUCAUGGGUAGCCUGUCCAAGUUGAAAAAUUCUCAAAAGUGAAAAUUUUUCAAAAGCAAUUUCAAUGUUCGCCAUUUCAAGUUGGCCUUCCACUUGAUGAAUUCCGUUAGAAUUUUCUCUUAUGACAUUUGCAAAACUCAUUGUACAAUGUCUCAAAGUUUAAAUGAUAUGCAUGCAUCUUUACCUGAUUUGAAAUAUAGGCCCCCAUUUCUUCUUAAUCUUCUCGUUGCUUGGUUGGUGAGAUCUUGCUAUCUGAUUUGAGUCAUUUUUGUCGUUUGGCUUUCUAGCCCACUCGAGUUAGCCCAUAUAAGUCUUUUUCCAGAUUUGUUUGCACAACUCAGCCUUUGUGGUGCUCAUUGUGACCCACUUGCUUGCGAAAGAUUUUCUGACUUGUCAAAUAAUUUGAGAGGAUUAUUCAUUACCCUCCGUCUCAUUGCUAAAAACAUUCGGUGUCACUUGCUGAAAGGAUCAAGCUGUCUUUUGUAAAACAAAAAUGCCCCCUUGUCUUGUUGAAGGAAAUUACCAUCUCUUCUAAACACAAUGUUGCCCUCUUGUAUUGGUCAUUGCCCCCCAAGUGUGGUCUGUUAACGACUUAGACAAAUAAUAGUUUUAAAAGACCAAUCUCUCAUUUCUCUUCUUUUUCAGUUUGGUGAAGGAAUAUGGGUCUAGAAUGGAUCUUGAAAUCUUGAUCUUGCAUUUUAAAAACAAAAAAUUAUUUCAAUGUGAGUCUAAAACAAUUUGCUUUUGAAAUCUUGCAACUCCUUGGUUGUUUUCUUUCUUGGAAAAUAGAUUAUUUGCUUUUGUGUUUGGCAAUGAGGUCUUCGGUGAAAAUACAUCAUGAGAUGACCUUUUGUUUCAAAGUGAAGGGCUCGAGAAAAAGCUCGAGGUUUUGUAUGAGAAAAACUUGUCUCUUUUUUGAACUUUUAUUUUAUCAGCAUGAAUAAUAAUGAGUAGUUUAUUCUUGAUGUCAUGAAUCUUAUGAAAAAAAUAGUCUUUGCAUUUUGAGAGCAUUGUUUAUUGUUCUAGGUUGCUUGCUUGCUUGAUUAGAAAGGACUUCUACAGGCACGUAACGUAGGCUGUGGUUUUUGGCUAUGAAAGAAAAGGAUUUAUAAGGCUCAAAGAGUGUUUUAGGGUUUCAAAGACUGAAGAUCACUGUCAAUAGUUUGACUCUUGACGUCAUUCAUAUUUUCUUUUGCCGCUCUUACUUGAUUUGCCCCCUCUUUUUUUCUUUUUUCUUUUUCAUUGCUUUGCUAGAGCAUGCUUACUUUAUCUUGGUUAUCACUUUUUUCUUGUGAUUUGGGCAUGCCCCCUAGCAUUUGAGUUUCUUGGGCUCUUUUGCCUUUUGGCUUUCUCACGGCUUUAUCAUCUUUCUUGAUCAUUGAAAUUUCACUUGCCCCCAGUGUGGGGUGUGAUCCUAGUCGAGAUUUUUUUAUGAAAGAAAAAUUAUUCAGGCUCAAAAAGGGAUCGCAAGGGAUGUACUUAUUUCAUAAUGUGAAAGGAAUAACAAAGAUGGCCUUUCCUCAUUUCAAGCGCAAGCAACAAUGAUCAAUAAACUUUGACUUCAUCCAGUAUGACGGUUUGGUCUUUGCAAAGAUGCUUUUCAUGAGUCAUGAGCAACGAGUUCACUACAUAUCAUUAUUCAUACAUUUAAAAACACAUGAUUCAAGAGUCAUGGGGUAAGGGUGUUUAUUCAUUUCUUUUUCUCUUUUUUCACAAUUUUUUUUUUGGUUUAUAAUUUAGUCACCUCAAUGAUGGAGUUGCUUGAUUCACUUGUCAUUCUACAAGUAGAUUGUCAAAAAUAUCGUUUUUGAAUAAACAUCAAAUUAUUUUUUAAAUCAAAAUGCCAGAUCAAUUUUUUUUUCAAAACUCCAAUAGGGAAACUGAUUUUGGUAAAAGAGAUGAAUUAUGUCUAUGAGAUCGCGCAAGGCUUCAAAGAUGUGUUUGUGAGUUUUUAUAAGAAAACUCUCUCAGAAAAAUGAAUAAUGCUUGGUCGUAAACACGAUUGAAUGAUAAACUCAUUAUUUUCAUUGAAACUUUGGAAAAGAAGUUCAACAACAAAGAACUUAUGACAACAUCUUGGGCUAUGAAUACUGGCAUGAUAGCAUAUAAAGGGGCUAAACAUUUAACAAUCAUUGAUUGGAAUUUCUGGAAUCAUUCAUUCUCCUUGACAAGGGCAUCUCUUCAACAAUCAAUUGAAAUCAUAUGUAGAUCAUUCUCGACCUAAUAUCACCAUAGCUUUUCUUCAAGAUAGUUGAUUUCUGGGAGUCGGUGUGAAGCAAUUAGCUAUAAGAACGAUAAGUGCCUUGGCAAUCACCUUCAAUGAAACCAUUCUUCUCAGUCGGGUUAAUAAUCUUACCUAACCCAAUGGCCUGUUCAAUCCUCUCAGCUAUAACAACCAGGUCAGUGAAAUGUUGUGCAGAGCUUCUAACCAAGUAUUCAAAGUACGGAGCUUUAAAGGUGUUGGAAAAUAAACUAAUCAUCUCUUUUUCCAACAUAGGAGGGUUAACUUGUGCAGCUACCUCACUCCAUCUUCGGGCGUAUUCCCUUAUGGACUCCUUGUUGUCCUUCUCCAUAGCUUGCAAGCUUAACCGAUUAGGGCCCACGUCUAUAUUGAACUUAUAUUGCCUCAUAAAGGCAUCAACUAAAUCCUUCCAUUUUUUUACCUUGGUAUUGUCCAACCGCAUAUACCAAGUGAGGGAAACAUCACUCAAGCUGUCUUGAAAGAAAUGAAUCAGCAGUUUCUCAUCAUCAACCACCUCAGCUAUUUUGUUGCAGUAUGCUUUGAGAUGAGUUAUAGGGCAUUGAGUUCCCGUAUAUUUAACAAAUUCUGGCACUUUAAAAUUUUUGGGAAUGACAAUGUUAGGCACCAAACACAUCUCAACAGUCUUUGUAGGAUCAUAUAGGCGAAUUCCCUCAAAUGCCCUCAUCCUUUGCUCUAGAGCAAUGAAUUUGUUCAGAUCAUCUUCUUUUACCAUCUUUGCCUUUUUGAGAUUCCUUCUCGUUUGCCCCUAGAUUCUGUGGAGUGAAGGGAUUUACGAGCAUAGGUUCAGGCUGAGCUAUAUGUGUUGCUUUUUCGGAUUUGUCUCUCAAGGCCUGCUCGAGUAGACUAGUAAGCCUUGUGACUUCUUCCUUAAGAUUGUCCACCUCUUUUUGAUGUUGGGCUUCCAACUAGGCUCUUUCUUCGUUUUCCAUUUGUCUUUUUCCCGAACGAGUGUUAUAGAUGGGUUUCAAUGGGGAACCUAUAUUCCAACCUGUAAAUGUAAAUCAUGCAAUUUAUGCAAAAAUGUUGAUUCAAUUAAAAAUGCAUAUGAAAUGUGGACUCUCCCUUCACGUGAUGGCAACCUAAUAGAAAGAUCCUAAUUGUUGAGUGCAUCAAGGGGUUGGUCAUUAUCUAGUUUCAAAAGGGUCUCUCGCAUGCUCAGUGAUCGUCCUUGAAAGGUCGAUAUGAGGCUUACAAGUAGUGUGAAGAUAGAGGCCCUAAGUAAUAUCAGUUUGGCAUAUCAACCACUUUCAAGUAAACAAUCAAGCGAGAGUUGGAUGGUUUCACGAGUCUUACCCAGGCUAAAGCCAUUGGGGUACCGUUACUCCCCCACUUAUCCUAGAUUUUAAGGUAUGUGCUCUUAACGUGAUGCAUGACAAUAUAAACAAGGAUGCAUGCUAAAGCAGUAAAUGCAAGAAAAAUAAACAAAUAGACAAACAUAACAAACAUUAUAGCAAUUGACAAACAAAAGGCAAAGCUUAGUCCAUUAGUCCCUAGUGGAGUCGCCAUUCUGUCGCACCCGACAUCGCGGCGGCCUUAAAAAUAAAAGUAUAUCAUGGAAAGAAUGGAUUUCUGACAUCCUAUUCUUUGAUGGGAAACGGUCUUGUUUAAGGAGUCGCCACCUAGUAUUAUGGUCACUAGGAACCCUAACUGGUCAACAAAGAUUCUAUGGUACGGGACUGGUUACGUAAAAGAGAAGAUAUUAUCACCCCUUAAACGUUCUGCCUGAGGCAGACUGCAUUGCUGGUUUUGUCUUAAAUUGCUAAAUGUUUAUUAGUUUACGCUAUGAUAAUUUGCUUAUAAUAUUCCUGACUCUAGCGUCAGUGAAUAUUCAACUACGAAUAUUCCCAACUCUGGUGUUGGUAAAUAUUACGUAGCUAUAAAAUAAAUUAGAUCAAUAUUUUUUAUUCCCCACUCUAGCGCCAGUGAGUAAAUAAAUAAAAAUAAAUUUAUUUUUAAGCAUGCACAUAUUUUUUAUUUUUCUAGCUAAAUAAAAUAAAUAUAAAUUUAAACCAGUAUUUUUAUUCCUGACUCUGGCGUCAGUGAAUAAACCAAUAAAUUACAUUAUUUUUAUUCAUAUAUACAUAUUUUUAUUAUAAUUUGCUUAUAAUAUUCCUGACUCUGGCAUCAGUGAAUAUUCAACUACGAAUAUCCCCAACUCUGGCGUUGGUAAAUAUUACCUAGCUAUAAAAUAAAUUAGAUCAAUAUUUUUUAUUCCCCACUCUAGCUCCGGUGAGUAAAUAAAUAAAAAUAAAUUUAUUUUUAAGCAUGCAUAUAUUUUUUAUUUUUUUAGCUAAAUAAAAUAAAUAUAACGAAUAAAAAUAAUAUAAAUUUAAACUAGUAUUUUUAUUCCUGACUCUGGCGUUAGUGAAUAAACCAAUAAAUUUACAUUAUUUUUAUUCAUGCAUACACAUUUUUUAUUUUUUUAUUUUUUCUAAUAACGAAUAAAAAUAAUAUAAAUUUAAACCGGUAUUUUUAUUCCUGACUCUGACGUCAAUGCUUUUCGAGUCAAUGCUUCUGUUUUUCUUCUCUGGUUUUCGGGUCCUUAUUCUCUGGUUUUUUCCUCCCCCGGCCUCUGCUCUGUUUUUUUUUUUGUUUCAGUCCCCUGUGUUAUUCAUCUUCCACUCGUUCUCUGUUUCCAGUGUUCUUCCUCCUGCCCGUUCUCCCUGUUUCGUUACCUGCCUCUUCGUUUUUGUCUCCGGUUCUCGGCCCCUGGUUUUUUGUUUCGUUCUCCCUUGGGUUCUGUCUCUGGUUUUCUUAUGAUUUUUUUCCAGUUCCCGUCGCUGUGUUUUUUCUUUGUUCUUCCCCCCCUUUUUGCCUCUGUUCUGCUCUGCCUUUUAUAGAGCCAGAGAGCUUGCCCCUAAAACCAGUCCCUGUUACAGUCCUGCAUUUACAGGACUGUUAAUCAAUCCACGAGCGGGAUCGUGGGCAAAAUUAAGCAGGCCACUGUCCGAUUGGUUUUCUCUAUUGCGGUUUCGCGAAAUUGGAAGAUUCAUCAGCUUGAUAUUAAUAAUGCCUUCCUCAAUGGUGUUCUUACCGAAGAGGUCUACAUGAAACAACCUCCAGGUUUUAUUGACUCUUCUCUUCCAUCUCAUGUGUGCAGAUUGCACAAAUCAUUGUAUGGUUUGAAACAGACACCGAGAGCAUGAUACACUCGUCUAAGUGAUUUUUUGCUCUCCAUCGGUUUCCACGCUUCCAAGGUUGACACCUCCCUAUUUAUCUUAUCUGAUGGUACUAAUAUCUUUUAUCUCCUGGUGUAUGUUGAUGAUAUUCUACUUAUGGGUAGCAACUCUGCUAUGCUUCAUCACCUUAUACAGUUACUCAGCUCUGAGUUCAAGCUUCGUGACUUAGGUGUUGUUCACUACUUUCUGGGUAUUGAAGUUCAGUCUACCAGUAUGGGUUUAAUGCUGCGUCAACAUAAAUAUAUUCUUGACAUCCUCACCCGAGCUGGUAUGACUUCCUGCAAACUCGUUGAUACUUCAGUCUCCCCUUUGAAAGUCAUUUUAUUACCGUAUCACUCAUUCUCUGAUCCUACAUGAUUUCGUCAAAUCGUGGGUGCUCUUCAAUAUCUUACCUUCACUCGUCCAGAUAUAUGUUUUGUUGUUAACAGAGUCUGUCAGUUUAUGCAUGCUCCUACAGAUUCUCAUUGGGCCGCUGUUAAGCGUAUUCUAUGCUAUCUUAAAGGUACGACAUCUUAUGGUUUUCAUAUCACUCGAGGCUCCUCUUUUGCUCUACAUGGCGUUACAGAUGCAGAUUGGGCUGGUAGUAUUGAUGAUCGCAAGUCUACGGGUGGCUAUCUUGUCUUUUUUGGUCAAACACCGAUUUCUUGGAAAUUCGGCAAGCAACGCACGAUUGCUCGCUCCUCUACUGAGGAUGAGUAUAAAGCCCUUGCUGAUGGUACCGCUGAAGUCAUUUGGCUUCAAUACUUGUUAACAGAUUUGCAGGUUCCCUCAGUCUCUACUCCUACCAUUGCUCCUACCAUUUGGUGUGAUAAUCUUGGUGCUACCUAUCUCUUAGCCAAUCCUAUCUUCCAUGCUCGUACUAAGCAUGUUGAAGUGGAUUAUCACUUUGUCCAUGACCGUGUUGCCAAGAAAGAGAUUCAGAUUUGUUUUGUUCCCUCUCGGGAUCAACUUGUUGAUGUCUUCACUGAACCACUUCCUGUUGCAUCCUUUACUGCUUUUCGAUUCAAGCUUCGUGUUGAUCCCCCACCCUCAGCUUGAGGGGGCAUAUUAUAGAAUGUAUAGUAUGUAUAUAUUCGAAUAGGAAAUUAAUAUAGGAUUAUUUCAAUGUUGUAAUCCCUACAGUUACUGCAGUGUUCUGCCGCAUAUAUAUAAAUAGGAAGGUUGGCUAAGGCACAACCUAACACAUUCUAUUAUUCUCAACUGCAUCAAACCAACUUUAAAAUUUAUAAAAAAAUACUUAAUAAUUAAAAUCUUUGAACUUUGAAGUUGAAAUUUAUUUUAAAUUGGGUUCAUAUUUGAAUAGCUUGGAAAAUUAACCAGGAUAAAAUUCAGGUAAAAUUUGGUUAACAAUUUUAUUUUUAUUGUUUUUUUCUUUUAUCAAUAACAAAGUUAUUUUUUAAUUUUUUUUUCAUAGACAAAACAUAUUUGUCUCCUCAACUUUGCUUACAAUAUAACGAUAUGGUCACCUACGACUUUUUGUGAGUCAUUCAUUUUUUGCCGUCAGCUUCACUGCCUAGAAGAUGCAUAUUUAACGAUUAUCAACUGAUCAUAGAGGAAGCCUAUAUCCAAACCAAUCGCACAGCCUUUGUCCUCCAAGUUCCUUCUAUUUUUCUUAUGUACACAAUUAACAUAUCCUCAAUUACCCUUUUGAUUUUAAUUUUUUUAAUGAAUUAAUUACGUGAAUAAAAUUUAUAAGAGACGUAGAGGAGGGCAUGAAUAGCACUAGCUAGAAGUCAGUGUAUCAAUGUUAAUGCUCCUCAAAAAGUCAAUGCUGGUGAAGUUGGUAGCAAAAAUAAAUAAUAAUAAAAAAAACAAAUUAAUUGAGUAGCUACUAGCUAGAGAGCCAAACGAAAUUGCAGAAGACGUUACACCUUCAUUAUUUAAUGGUUGUAACUGCCUAUCUAAGGAAACAAUAUUAUAGUAUUUAAGAUUUUUAAGAUUUCAUUUGAUAUAAUCUUAUGUGCAGAACUUGAGAGGGAUUCACAGAGAUUUUGGUGCAGGGAGGGCAACAACGGGGCCAUUUUGUAUUGCUUCUAAGACCUCCCUAAGAAACACAAAAAAAGAAAAAGGAAGAAGAAAACUCCAUGUUAUUUUGUCCAACAUGGUUACGGAGAUAUUCAUUGAAUUAGAAUCUGUCAAAACAUUAUCUCAACUCAAUAGCUUAAGUUGUUAGGUGAUGUCCCCAUACUAUCUUAUACUUAAUUUUAUCAAAUAAAUGGAAUGAUGAGAUUCGAACUAGUGACCGCUUGAUCAUCAAGACUCUGAUACCAAGUCAAAUAAUCAUCUCAACCCAAUAUUUUAAACUAUUAGGUGAAAUCUCAAGAUAUAAUUUAUAUUAUUCUCUAACAAGAUCAAAUAAAGAUAAAUGUAAGCAAGUAAAUAAAUGAAUAUCAAAUAAUCAUCUCAAUCUAAAUUAAGUUAAAUUAUUAAAUUAAGUUAUGAGAUAUAAUUUAUAUAUUUUUUUAACACACUUUCUAAAAAAAAAAAUUUUAAAUUUAAAAUUUAUAUAAAUUCAUAUUAUCUUAUACUUAAUUUUUAUCAAAUAAAAUAGUAGGUAUUGAUGAAGUUGUGGUUUUAUAAACGUAAUCAUGUACUACUGUUCCUGCUCCUAUCUUUCACACCUACUGCAUGUCCACACAGUCAUUAUUACUAUAAAUAUGUAGCAAGUUUGCCUUCCCAUUCAUUCCAUUUCAAGCAAAAAUAUUCUUGAGCUGAGGUAGAGCCACCAUUUAUCACAGUUUGCAGCAAACACAUUUUUUGUGCGAUGGCAGCACCAACUUCGAUAUCUUUCGCAGUCCGAAGGUGCGAACCAGAAUUGGUUGCACCAGCUAAGGCCACACCUCAUGAAUUCAGACAGCUUUCUGAUAUUGAUCGCCAACUAUACCUCCAAUUUCAAUCACCAGGUUACAGCUUGUAUGCACACAAUCCAUCGAUGCAAGGGAAAGAUCCUGUGAAGGUAAUAAAGGAGGCAAUUGCGCAGGCACUUGUGUAUUAUUACCCUUUUGCUGGUAGGAUUAGACAAGGGCCAGACAAUAAGCUUAUAGUAGAGUGUACUGGUGAGGGUGUCUUGUUCAUCGAAGCCGAUGCCGAUGCCACGGUUGAGCAGUUUGGUGAUCCAAUUCCAUCUCCAUUCCCAUGCUUUCAGGAACUUCUUUACAGCGUCCCUGGAUCAGAUCCUCAAUACCCCAUUAUUGCUUUUUCAGGUACGUAUAGGACAUUAUUGGCUAAUGUUUAUUCAUUCUUUCAUCAUUAUUAUUAUUAUUAUUAUUAUCGAGAAAAUUCAAAAAUAUAAUUAAAACAAUGAUGGUAGUAUUCCAUCAAUUACAUUCUCAUAAAGUAUUAAUAAUUUUAAAUUAUAUUAACAGGUGACACGCUUGAAGUGUGGUGGUUUUGUACUUGGGUUCCGUUUUAAUCACUCAAUGACCGAUGCACUCGGCAUAGUUCAGCUAUUGAAUGCCAUAGGUGAGAUUGCACGAGGUGCUCAAGCCCCUUCAAUUCUACCUGUGUGGCAAAGGGAACUCCUCUGUGCUAGGAAUCCGCCACGAGUUACAUGCAGACACAAUGAAUAUGGUAAUGAUGCUCCUGUUGCUGUUGAUCCUACAGCCAAGGUGCCUGAAUUCCACGGCCAGGUUCACGCUGUAGCCCACCGUAGUUUUGUUCUUAACCGCAAGGAAUUAUCCAACAUCCGUAGAUGGAUUCCUUCUCACUUACACCCAUGUUCAAAUUUUGAGGUAAUAAGUGCAUGCUUAUGGAGAUGCUAUGCCAUAGCAUCUCAAGCUAACCCUAAUGAGGAGAUGCGCAUGCAAAUGCUUGUCAACGCACGUUCCAAAUUUAACCCUCCAUUACCGAAAGGAUAUUAUGGUAACGUGCUAGCCUUGCCAGCAGCUGUAACAAAUGCUAGGAAGCUUUGCUUAAACUCUUUAGGGUAUGCAUUGGAAAUGAUAAGAAAUGCCAAGAAUAGAAUAACUGAGGAGUACAUGAGAUCAUUG